UUUAAUGGAAAGGGUAUUUUGGGAAUAAAAGUAAGAGGAUUGGUGGGUGGCAGUAGUAUUUAAGCAUAGCACAAACCCUAAACAGAACCUCAACACUACUUGAUCUUAUCUGAGCAGAGGAAGCCACGGCGCGUUUGUUGCCUUUCCUAUCCUUUCAUUUGCAGCGGCGACGGUGGCGGCGGAGCCUCCGUCAUUGGCGGCUCUGCCCCCGGGCCCGCCGCGACUGAAAGACGAAAUUCGCCGUCGGAACCCUGCAAUGAAGACUGCCCGCGGUCAGAGCCCCUUUCUCUGUUUCACAUUGCUUGGGGCAGUGAUGGCCACGCGGGCUCAACAAAUUUAUCAUUCCCUACUGUUUAUUUUUUCUUUUUGUGAAUUGUCGGUGCCGUGUUGUUUAGUCGAGCUUUGAUGUUUUGUGCAUUUCUUUUGUUUGUUAAUUAAUGCCAGUUUUCUGUUUUUGGAUAUAAUUAUGCUAUAUUUUUUCUUAUGAAGUUUGAUUUAACUAUUUUUUUAAUUGUUUGUUCUUUUUUUAAAAUGUAUAUUGUUCACAUCUCUAAUUUUUGGAGGCUGAUCUCUGUUUAAGAUGUUUGCAAAUUAGGAGUGUAUUUUUAUUUAUUUUAUUUAUUCACUUCUUUUGUAGCUGAUUAAUUGGUUUGGCAGGUUAAGUAUGGCAUAGGCAUCUGAAGCUUCAUAAGGCAUGAGGAGAUUUUCAUGCGAUGCGUGUCAUGCUUAAUGGUAUUUUGAUCUGUAUCUUUAUAUUAUUAAACUUAUACUCAUGAGCCUGCUUGUAAUUUAAUUUAGUACACCCAAUUUAUACGUAUCCAUUAUUCCAUUUGGUAUAAUAAUCGUCAACCUCAAACUUGAAUUACUAGUGUGUGUAUAUAUAGUCACGCGUAAGAACUAGCUUCCAAUUGGUACAAUACAAUUUUGGGUUCAUUCAGUGUUUUAUGUGUUACGGGAUCCAUUGUGUUUUAUGCCUUACAGUUGACCGCGUAUGCUUCUAUUUCAUGUUUGUAUGGUUUAUUAUUUCCACAUUUUUGUUUAUUGACAGCUGCUAGUGACCCUCUAUAUUCUUAAGCAUUUCUAUUGAUUAAAAUUUAUCGAAUUGAAUAUUGUCUAAUAGGUUUAACCUAAUACGGUUUUUUUUUAGUAAGGUGUUGAAAUGCUUCGUUAUUUUUCUCUAUUUCUAUCAAUCUAGAAUUGCCAUUGUCAAUGCAGUACAGUGUAUUGCAUUUUUCUGCAUAACCUGGCUUACAGGUAAUCAGAUGUCACUUAUCCUGGUAACGAAAUAAUAGGUUUAACAAAAUAAUUUUUUCAAAUUAAGUAGUUUUUUAAAUAGGUAGAAAAAAUUCAAAAUUUCAUGCCAUGACACUUGUAAAAUUGUUUAUAACAUAGGUCAAAACUAAAGAUGCAUUACAAAUCAAAUAAUAUUAGGAUUUGGCUCUCUAAGUCUAGUUGCAAAUUUAACGAAAUUUAAAAUAAUAUUAUUCGGCCCUCUAAUAUGCAGAAAGCUUAGCAAAGAGAUAAUACAAAUGGGACAACAUGAAACAACUUGCUAUGAAGUUUGAUUGAGUUUUUUUUUAAUGAAUGGGAAAUAAACAAACAAAAGCACCAGAAGGAAAAAAAAUCAGCUACCCCUGGGAUACAAAGUUCCUAGGGCAUCUGCCUAAGACAAGGAGGACACACAUUCCACAACUUGAACGAAUCACUUGAGGAAGCCCCAAACUUAGCAAGCCAAUCUGCAAUCUUGUUCCCUUCCCUUAAGAUGUGGGUGAAGGAAACAUUCAUACAGGAGGAAGACAAACUUCUGAUGCUAUGGAUCGGAGGAGCUACAGCAUGAGUUUGCACCACACCAUUGAAUAAAAAUAUUUGCCAAAAUCUUAUAUCAAUGGUUCAUAUCAAUCAUAUCUAAAUAAGCUUGAGCCUUAAUGCAUAUUCAUAAACAAAAAAAACCAAUGUACCCUUAAAAAAACAAUGUAGAGAAAAAAAAGAAAUAAAUUACCUUUUUUUUCUCCUCUACACAUAAACACGAGAAAAAAAGCUAGGAUCUGAUUUCUGAAAAAGGAGUGAAGGUCGAACAAAAUAUACUUCUACGCUCAAAAUUUUAAGCAACUUACAAAAACAACCCUUCUAAUUUUAAACAUAUUUCUAAUUUCAAAAACUUUAUUCAAUGAUGCAACACAUUCAAUCUUUUCAAUUUUGGAUAAAGAACUAAUAACAUUUGAUUAUCUGUCAUAUAAAAAUUAAUUAAAAAUAUGAUGAUCUUGAAUCGUAUAAUAAUUUCUAGUGUUAGCUAGAGGACUAUGUUGCUAACAUUCCUAAAGUAAAAAUGGUUGACAUGUUCAAAUAAGAAGAUAAUUAGUUAAGUAAUGAAUUUUGUCCAAAACUAAUAGAACGAUUCUCAACAUUUGUUCUGAAAGUGAUCUAACGAUAAAUAAAUGGGAAUGUUAUUCCAAUGUUGCCGAGAAGCUUAGACUAGCAUGUGGGGGCCAUACUGCUUGGAAUGGAUUACAAUACUCAAAUCAGGUUUAGUUCUCCUUGUCAUGGAUAAGGAGACUCAUGCUUGGUGCAUGACCCAGUAAGGAAGCGUGUACUGCAAGCAAUGAGAACUGGCUAGCACUAAUGACAAUGACAGUUGGAUAACUUAUUUUCCCACCUCCAGGCGUGGUAUAAAAGCGUAAAGUUCUGGUUGGUAAUUAACAUUAUUUCAUUCUUCACUCAACUUAAGAUCUUUAUUGACUUAAGCAUUGGAGUGAUUGCAGAUUUCAUACUACCACCGUGGUAUUUGCUUGGUGCCACCGUAAUCCACCAUUGGAAAGCAUCUUCACAAACCACUUUGAUCUCCUCCUAGGACCAAACCUCUUGUUCGGAUUUCCAUCUCUUGAACCGAACAACAUUGUAGUUAUUAGUCUUUAUCUUACAUAAUUAUAAAAAGUGGGUUGAUGGAUUAAAAACAUAACAAGCAAGUUUAAAGGGUUUAACCGUUAGUCUUUAUUUAUUUUUUCAGCCCACUAUGUGUUCAUUAUUUAUUGCUUUAUUUACACCUUUUUUUUUUAUUGCUUUUAUGUCUUAUCCUUCAAUGCACUUACAAUUUUGUUGAAGCUUCAAACUGAGUGCUCUAGGAAUCCAAAGCGAAAAGAUGACGCUCCUUCCUUAAUAUGGAAAAUGAACUGUUACCAUUUAGCUCAUUAAUAGGCUAAAUAGCUAAUUGGACUAUAAAACUAAAAUCGCAACAGUAAUAUUUUCCUUUAUGAAUCUCUAUUCUUAUGACCAAAACAUGCGUAAGGUUUGAGUGAGUGAAUUUUGCAGAUCCCAUUAAUAAUCAGCACAGUACUCACUACAAGUUUCUAUUCCUGCCCCCCUGGGUCCAUUGCCAAUCAUUGACACCCUUGAUUUUUCUUAGCAUAUAGUAGGAUGGUGGAUUUAUUAGUGCCAUGUCAACUCUUACAAAGUUUGAUCUGCCAAUGGCCAUUCACCCAUAAAGAAUGAAAAAGCAAUUAAUUAUCACAUAUGCUCAAUAUAUUAGUAUCGAUGCAAAUUUAGACCAAAAUGCAAAAUGGUCCAGCUAUAAUCCCCGAGAAUAAUGUUAAACAAAAAAAUAAUAACAAAAGGAACUUUCAGUUACUUAGCCGACAAACCAUGAGGCUACUCAACAUAAUAGUUGAACAUAAUCAACAAAAGAAUAAUUAAUUUUAUGAUUUGAUCCAGACGAAUCACCUUUCUGGACAGGGGAAGCUCAAAAAAUUACGGCUAAAGGUAAUGAAAGAUUCGUGGAAUGAUCUACUAUUGUCUAAAAUCUUCUCAAAAACACUUCCACAUGAAGAUGUUGUAAGGUAUGUUGGGAACAAAGGUUUGUGUAUGCUUAAAAUACAUAUUGACCUAACCAAGAGAGCGUUUAUAAUUUGGGCCAAACCACCUUUUUUUUUUAAGACCAAUCAUUGGCAAUUUGGCAUCAUAAAAGAAUAAUUGGUAGGAGGCAUAUUACCUGCAAAAGGAGCACAAUAUAAAAUAUUGCUCUUACCUCUUUCAUGAUAUAUUAUAGAUCAUGGGUCCAUUACCUAAAAGUCUCCUUCACUUCUCUCUCUUUCUGUCUGUCCUUUCUUUCUCUCCGUAGAUAUAUAACAUUAAUUAUUUAUGUGUUCAAUAAUGUUGGUCCCAAACUUUAUACGAUAUAGACUUAGAAAUUGUGGAAAUAAAACCCCUUUUGCCUUGCUAUGUACACUUUAUUUUACAUCAGCAGUCUAUGUCGUAACACCUCUCUAUCUAGGGUAGUUAGAAUUUCGAAAGAUUAGCAGUUAAGCUUACUAUACAAGAUGUGAGAGUUAGGAAGGAUGGUCAAAUACAAAUUACGUUGGAGUGAUGGGUUUAUUGUACUAAUUAACAAAUUAAAAUGAAAUCAAGUUGCCAGUAAUUCGAGAUUACCCUUUGCACCAUGUUGCUCUACAAACAGAUUUCUAUAACUAUAAGUAGAAAGGAAUCUUAACGUGGCAUGGUUUAGGUGAUGACAGGGAAUGGAUGUUGACCCAUCAACAAAGGGGAUAACACCAAACAAAUCCAUCACAGAGCUUGGAUUAAAUAUACAAAGUGGUUAAGCUUGUGGACUAAUAUUCUAAUGUUUUGGUUGAAUUGGUAUAAGCAUAGGUUUUAUUUUAUUUAAUUUGCGUGAGUAAAAUCAGUCACUGCAACAGUAAAAAAGGAGAGUGAAAUUCACCUUUGGCUUUCAAUUUUGAACCCCUUUUAUCUGCCAAAUUUUAAUAGGAAAGAAAACUUGAUCCCAUGCAUUGGUUCAAUGAAUUUAUUGUGUUCAACUUGGUCUCAUACACGAGUUCAAUGAAUUUAUUGUGGUCUCACAUCUCAGAUGAAACUACAUGAGUCCUUAGUUGUUUUAAGUACAUUCAGCACAGAAUUGAACCAAUAAGAAAACACAGGCGGUUAGAGGAGAGAGAGAGUGGAGUAGGAGUCAGUGAUUCUAGUGGGUUCCUGCAACAGACCCCACCUGUCCAUAUUUAUUAUUUAUUAUUUUGUUUUAUUCAAAAUUUUCUCUUGAAUUUUAUUUGAGCCACCUUUGAAUGAGAAGCCCCACAAGUCCAAACUCCAAAGAGAGCAUGAGACAAGUUUUGGUGGGACAACAUCUUGGGUACCACAGAAUGAGUUUCUCAAUCUGAAAUAUUUUUUCAACUAGGGACAGCCAUAAAGCAAGCCAAACAGACUAAUCAAUCAGGUUUCUUCAUUGAGAAGGAGAAAAGAAAGAGAUAGAGACACCCCAUGAAAGAUAAAAAAAAAAGUUGCAAAGAUGAUCAUAUCUGAGAAAAAGACUGGACCCUCUCUUGUGCCAACUUACAACAUAGAUUAGAUAUUACUUUGACAAGAAAACCUAGAUCUUUCUCCCCUCUAUGACCUUCUCAAUAUAGACUUGUAUUUAUAGAGGUAAGGUGAACACUAAACACAACACAUGACACCAUACAUAUAUAUACCACUUUUUAAAUUCAUGCUAGAGCAACACCACUUUUUGUUCAUGUAAAUUCAAUUUGAAUUAUAACACAAGGUUUCAGCUUCAGGGAAGAUGAUAAUGGUCUAAAAAGAAAAAAAGCUUUGCAUGGCGAGCCACAGAAUAGGAGAACUUGGUUUGUCUGAGUCAAGACCUUCAACUCACCACAUCCCUUAUGGAGUGCUUCAAGGAAUUAACACUCCUGCGUCAAGCUUAAUGUAAUUCUUCAAUAAUAGUAUCAUCUCCUAUUAACUUUUCAGGCUCUUAAGAAGGAACUAGUAUAUGGUGAUUCAUUUUACAAAUAUGAUUGUUUUGUGUUUACUUUAAACUGUUUCUUUGUUGUGUUUUGUUUUGUUUCUUAGCAAUCAAGGAUCUGCUUUUGAUUUUGGGGAGCUGGAGGAAGCAAUUGUUCUGCAUGGAGUUAAGAGUAGAAAUGAUGAGGGCAAAACAUGUAUGUUUUCCGUUUCCAUCACUUAUGCUUCUUUUUUUUUUUUUCUUUUCUUUUUCUUUCUGACGUUAGAUAAGCAUAACCAACUCUUUCCAAAAGCAGAGAGAAAAAAGGGUGAAGGAUAAGAGGUUUGAAUAUGUCUAAAGAAUGCACAGUGUGGGGGGUUACCAUUUCCGAUACAAUAAUGAUUCUGAGACAAUAGACUUGGAUGGCGUGGGGUUACAAUCUUAGAAACUGACCUCUUUUGCAUGAUUUUACUGACUCCAUAACUGCUGAAAAGUUGAAUUUGGGAUUAGGUUCCUCUGCCUAUUUAUUUAUUUAUUGCUGUUAUUAUAAUUGAAAGUCCUCAUGGUCUUUUUAUUUUGGUAAUCUUCAACUCCUUCAAAUUUGGUGAUCCUCUUAGAGAUUUUGCUUUUGUGAUUCUUGCAGCUUUAUUCACAGCCAGACCUGCAGCUACACUGGAAAUGUUCCCUUCAUGGCCAAUGAGAUUCCAGCAAACCCCAAGAGUAGUACUAGUCUUCCUACUUGUCCAUCUUUGACCAUUUAUUUAAACAUGCUCUUAGUAUGCUUACAAGUUCAAGAAAUCUUAAUUUUUUUUUCUUUCCUUGUGAAAAUGAUAUUGUCCAAAUCCUAAGCCUUGCAAUUUUGAUAAUAUAUAGUAUGUGAGGUGAUUUUUAUUUUUUUUAGUUGAAUUUUCUGAAUCAAAUUCUUCUUUUUUUUCUUUUGGUGGCUUUUCAUAUACAGAGUGGUUCAAAGUCAGGAGGGGAAAGCACUGAUUCAGGUCUUUCUAGCAAAACUGAGCCCCCCUUUGAGGCAGAAUCUCCCAUAAGCAAAAAGGCAUCUUCUUCAGAUCAUCAUCAUCAGUCUUUUGAUCAGCAGCAUCUGCAGCAUAGACAGCAACUUCAACAGGAGAUGGCAAGUGAUGCCCCAAGAUCAGCCUCUUCACAGAAUCAAUCAGCAGCCAAAUCACCUCAAGAAAAGGUCUCUCUCUCUCUCUCUCUCUCUUUCAGGCUCUUUUUCUUUUAUUUAUGUCUCACACAAGUAAUUUUUUUAAACACAAAUUUAUUCAAAGAUUAAAUGUAUACACUUCUCUCAAUAAGUGGCAGUCUAAACAUUAAUUCACCAUAUUGUGCAAGACUAGUGUCUUCUAGGAGACUAAACUCCAGUUGGUUCCUCAAUAGAGUCUAGGCCUCAAGAAAGGUUAUUAAAACACUGUUUUUCCACUGUUAAUCUCUCAGUUCUCUCUUUCCAUAUCCCCAAAACACGGGGAAAGUUGGCCUUUUAAAUGCUAUUUUUACUGUUUUGAUCUGUCCCUCCUCUCUCUCUCUCUUGUGUAUCUUCACAAAGAAGGCACAGAUCCCAACAGCUUUCAGAAAAUCAAAAGAACACAGAGUUUUCCUGAUUCCUGAACGAUUUUCUGAUGAAUGUCUGACAUGAAAUAUGAUAGAGAUAUAGAGAGAGGGAUGUGGACAAAGUACGAACAUAAAACAAAUUGAGAAUCUUUUCAGUAUUUAUCAACGCUUCUCAUUAAAGUGACCCCCUCACUUGGCUCAAUAUAGAGAAAACUUGUGUUCUUCUCUAGAGUCAAAUUUGGAGCUCGGAUUCUAAAACCACAGCAAUAGCAUACACCAAAACAAUGGCAGAUAAUGAUGCUUUUUGCUACCCUUAUCAUAUUGAUGGUUGCAUGCCUCUAGAGAAAUGGUCCAAGGGGCCUCAGGAUUCAGAAAUGCUUCCCAGAGUGAGCACUCUAAUAUAUCAUCUUUUGUUUCGGAUUUAAAGUUUACAACCUCUCUAACUCUAAGCUAGGAUGAUUGAAGCUGAGUAAUGCUUAACAGUUUUCUUCUUUUCCCUCCCUCAUUUAUUUGUUUACCAAUAUGGUCAAAUUCGCAUUUUUCUGGUUUGUUAAUUGUAGUCCAAAGUUCAACACUGUGUUGAGCAAAUAAACAUUAGUGUUCAUCUCUCUAUUUUCAUUUUCUUUCCUUUCUGAAAUCAUCAAUGUCUUUCAAAUAAUGAUUUUUUGGUCAUUUUUCUUGCAGAGAAAGGGAGAUGGUUCUACUUCAGAGAAACCACUUGAUGCAAAGGUUAUUUAAUAAUUUUCCAAACUCUUUUUUUUUCUUUACUGUAUCUUUUUUUAUUUUUUAUUAUGUGGAUUUACGUAGGAUCUAAGGUAAGAUAUUUUUUGUUGGUCUCAGGCAUUGAGACGUUUAGCUCAAAACAGAGAGGCUGCAAGGAAAAGCCGUCUCAGGAAAAAGGUGAGUCCUACAUAUAUUGUUGUACAAAUUCAACUACUUGUUGAGAAAUAACACUUAUAUUGUUGCAGAAAGUGGAAACUAAAAAGAGCUUUAAAUUUCACUGCAUUUUGUUUCUGUGUAUGGAAUAGGCUUAUGUGCAGCAGCUAGAGUCAAGUAGAUUAAAGCUUACCCAGAUAGAACAAGAACUUCAAAGAGCACGCUCUCAGGUUCUCAUGUCAUGAAUUAGUAUUAUUAUAUAUUUUAAUUUUUUUACUAUUAGUGGUUAAUAUUAUUUGAGCUGUUAAUUUAUAGGGCUUGUUCGUGGAUUAUGGAGGUGUUGGAAGUACUGUAAGCUCUGGUGAGUUUAUUUGAUACUUUUUUUUUGUUGAUUUUUAAAUGCAGUGCCACUUUCUAAUUCCUCAAACUCAGAAAGAUAAAAGAGGAUAAUGCCAUAAUAUUUUACAAAGUAUACAUCUUUUGAAUACCAAAUAAAAUUCAAGAUUUAAUGAAGCCUCUGCAUAUAUUUGACCAAAAUCUGUGGCUAAAUAAUUCGUGUUUGAAUAAUAAAAACAAUAUGCCAAUGUCAGAAUCAGAUAACGCUAACAUAUUUUAUGUCUAGUUGUACGACCUUUUCUUAACAUAUUAUAUAAAACUAUAAAAGGCUACUUUAUAUGCUUCGGCUUUUCAGAGAAGAUAAUUAUUCCAUUCUGAUGCUGCUCUUUUCGACUCCUGGUAAAAUAAUACGGUCUUUGAGGUAAAAAGUUAACAACAAAUAAAGUAAUAAUAAUAAUUAAUUGUCAUUAAUAGAAACACACUUUCUAACGAAAAGGAAAUGCACUACAUACAUAUUAUGAUUAUCAUUAUGCAAAUGGUGCCGGGUCUGUUUCAUUCGUGGUCACAUUGCACUAGUCACCAAAUCAACCAACAUUUUAAUAGUAGUUAAAAACAUUGUAACAUUAUUAAUAUGCAACACAUGUAUAAAAUAUACAUGACUAUAAAAAAUACAAGAAAGCAAACAGAUUUGAACCGGCACCACUCAUAUUGUAGUUUAAUGUGAUCAUAUACAUUAUCAAUAAUGGCAAUUAUUGAUUAAGUAAUUGUAAGAAUAACAAGAAGGGUUUUGUUAUGUUAUGUAGCAGGAGCCGCAAUGUUUGACAUGGAAUAUGCAAGAUGGUUAGAAGAAGAUCACAGGCUAAUGGGGGAGCUGAGGAACGGGUUGCAAGCACCGUUAUCAGAUAGUAAUAUGAGAGUGAUGGUGGAUGGAUAUCUUUCUCACUAUGAUGAAAUUUUCAGGCUCAAGGUUGUGGCUGCUAAAUCAGAUGUGUUCCACCUUAUCAAUGGCAUGUGGACUUCCCAAGCUGAACGUUGCUUCCUCUGGAUUGGUGGUUUUAGACCCUCUGAUCUCAUCACGGUGUGUACACUAGUCUAUACAUCAAUUACAUACAAGUUAAAGUGUAUUGUAUAUGUAUUUAGAGCAUAUACAGAAUAGUCAAUAAAGUAACAAUGAGAACAAUAUAUAAAUAGUAAUAGUGACCAAGAGUGGUAAGGUUGUGGAAUCCAUAUUAUUACUUAAUGUAGUAAAGAUUAUUAAUUGAAUAAAAAAAAAUCUAUUUAAGAAAAGACAACGAGCAUGCUAAUGUAUUUGGCGAGUCAUUUUCUUUUCGUUUUGGAAAUUGGGGGUGUCAUUUUUUGAACAAAGAGAUAAAUAACUUUUUCGGUAACAGCAUUGUUUUGCUGUUAUUAGAAACUUGUCCCAUGUCAGUUGUUGUGGGCAGUGAAUAACUGUUCCAAUGUCGCAGGGAAAUCUCGUUGUUUCAGCCAAUAAUUACUAAUUAUAAUUAGCAUCAACGUUAAGGGUUUUAAUUUUCUUUUAUCUUAUUACUCACUUUGUUUUUCUUUUCUCCUUAAUUAUAUUAUUUGUUCAUCUUUUCUCUUUGUUUCUCUUCCUACAUAACUAACUGUGACAAGGAUAAUAGUCAAACAACUAACAUAAAUAUUUUUUAUUAAAAGUAUAAUAACAUUAAAUAAUAUAAUUCUUAAUGUAUUCAACAGCAAUAUUAUUAUUUUUUGGAUGGUCAGAUGUUGAUUCAACAGUUGGAGCCACUAGCUGAGCAACAAAUAAUGGGGAUGUAUGGCUUGAGGCAUUCCUCACAGCAAGCAGAAGAAGCACUCUCUCAGGGCCUUGAGCAGUUGCAACAGUCUCUUGUGGACACCAUAGCUGGAGGCCCAGUUGUUGAUGGUGUUCAACAAAUGGUCCUUGCCAUGAGCAAGCUUGCCAAUCUUGAAGGAUUUGUUCGCCAGGUAAAUUAACUUUUAAAUUGCACCUGCAUUUAGCAACACAUUCUUUAAUAUUUUUUUAUAUAAAUAAUAUAUUUAAAAGAAUAUAUUGUUAUUUUUUUUUUAACUUUUUGCUUAUUUUGACUUGAGUGAUCACAUUUUUCUUUUUCUUCUUGGGUGAGUUAAAUACUUUUACAAGUACAAAAUUUGGUGGUGAGGUUGACGUAAAGCCUCAUAGUGACCCGACAUCUGUGGGUGUUGCAAUUUCUGUUUGACUAAUGAUUUCGUAAGCUUUUGUCAAAAUUAGAUUUGAAUGUGCGUGUGACUUGUCAAUUUUAAUUAUUUGGGUUUAGAUACUAAUUAUAAACUUCAUAGUUGAAAACGGAAGCCACGUUAAUUAGACUAGGGCAAUUGCUUCUUUUACCUUCUUUUGACUUUUGAUUUUUUUUUCAUAGGAUAGUUAUGACACUUUAUUAUGCUUUAACUGUUUUCAUUUUUUGCUUUGUUAUAUAUGAAUAUACAAAUAACUAGCUAGGUCUUAAUUAAUUAUCUUCACUUCUUGGUCGUCACGUCUCUCUAAGUAUAUAUUGUUUCCUGGCACAUUAGUUAAAUAAGCGGAGAUAUGUAUUGCUUUCGAUUGCUUAUAAGUUAUAACGUUCUCGUUCAUCAAAAUAUUGGAUUCUAGUUCUAGGCAUUUGAUGUACUUUUUCCAUUUUAAAAUGUCUUAGUCAGAAGUUGGUUUUAGAAAGCGAUGGCUAAUGUUGAAUCAUAAACCCUCGGUAGAAUUAUCAUCAUUGCUAUUUUAAAAGACAAUUUCUCAAGUGUUUUCUAAUUUUUUUGAGGAAUUUAUAAUUAAUUAAAUUCUAGGGUUAUAGAAGAAAAUAAAAUGCAUUACUUUAUUCAAUAAUUAGCAACUGUCAAUUAAGUUUAUUGAUAAGACUACCUCACCAAAUAUUGUAUAAUUGUUAAAUUAUUUAACAAUCCCAGAAUCUGAAUUGGAUAAUUAAUUUUAUAAUUGUUAAAUUUAAUAUAAUAAUAUUUUAAUUUUAAUUUAACGGCUUAUAUACAAUAUCACUCGCUAUAUUACAUAUUCUUAAUAAAGUAUUGUAACAUUUUUUUUUUAGAAUACACAAGAGCUUUCUCUUAUAGGAGAGCCAUCUUAUAUGGUAGCAGGUGGGGAUUAAUUCCUUGUUCGAUACAAGAUACUGGUUAAGCAAGAAUUAAUGCUACACUUUUUUGUUGUUGUUGAGACACUGUGCUGUUGAAACUUGCAAGAGAUGCAAAAGAUAAAUAUUAACCUUUGAAUUAUAUAUAAAUAAUUAAAAUUAAAACCUUAAAUCUCACAUGAUUAUUUUAAAAUUUAGAUGAAUCUAUAUUUUAAUUUCAAAUUUUUUUUAUUAAUAUAUGCAGACAUAGAGUCAUAGACAAAUGCAUCAAUUCUUAACUUAUUAACUUCCAUAAACUUUUAUGAAUUAAAGGCUGAUAAUUUGAGGCAGCAAACUCUUCAUCAGCUAUGUCGAUUACUCACAGUUCGUCAAGCCGCACGAUGCUUCAUUGUUAUUGGAGAGUACUAUGGACGUCUUCGUGCCCUUAGUUCUCUUUGGGCAUCAAGACCACGAGAGUAAGUUAGAAUUUAUUUACUUAUUAUUAUUAUUUAAUCGGAAAAUAGUUUUAAAGAUAGAAGAAUGAAGUACUUUCUAAUUUCAUUGAGUCACCGGUUUUUUCUUUAUGGAGCAAAGAAUUGCCAUAAUAUACCAUUUUUCGUUUUUCUUUGAUGUUUAUACUUCAUACCACUUUUAGAGGUAAAAAAUAAUAAUUAGUUGGAGUAUUUGAUUGCUUCCGCCAUAUUCUUUCUUCUUAUUGACAUUUUGAUUUUAUUUUAAGUUUAUAUGUAUAUAACUUCUAUUAUGGUCCAUAUACACUAAUUUUCUUUUGGGAUAUUCAAACAGGACCUUGAUCAGCGACGAUAACUCAUGUCAAACAACUACGGAAAUGCAAAUAGUCCAACAUUCUCAGAAUUAUUUCUCAAGUUUCUGAGAGAUAUAAUUAAAACCCAUUAGCCUGAAAGAAGCUUCCUAGCCAUAAUUAAGUGGAUUUCGUUGGGCUGCUUUACAAAUGAAUGCCAGCGUCUCCUAGAAGAAAAAUAUUUAUUUAUUUUUCUUUUCAAUCUUCUAUGUUCUCUUGUGUCUUUAUGUUUUAUUGUAAAUGUAAAUCUAGGUUUUAUGUGCAUGAUGAGGCUUUAGCUGAAGAGAAAUAGAAAAAAAAAAGUUUGAGUUUAAGAGAAGGUGCACGUGGCAUGGAUGUAGAUAAAGUCUCCAUACAAUUGACUCUAUCUUCUAGUUAGCUAAUGGCUUAUUUUUCUUCUAAAUUUUAAUAUAUUUAUAAUUUAUAUAGACCUCACAUCUUGAUUAAUGACUUUAAAAAUAUAUAAGGUUGGAAUGUUUUUGGGAAAUAGUGAAAAAAAAGAGAGGAAGAAGCCGUUGCAUAUAUAUAAAAGCGGAGUAUCUGUCUAUAUAUAUUUAAGAAAAUUUCACUUUAACCUUUCAGAUUGAAAUUUUAACUUUAUAAUAGUUAUUUAUCUGACUUAAUCUGUAAUCUUUAUUUUAACAUUUUUUAUAUCAAAACUUUAAUUAUAUAGUAGUUAUUGAUAUGAUUCAAUGUGAUUUAACAUUAAUGAAGAAUUAUCAAUUUUUAAAACUUAAGCUUUUAUAUUUUUUAUAAAAAAUAAUUAUGAUUCAAUGUGUUUUGAUUUGCUAUUAUUACUUUUUUUAAUACAUGUUAUUAUUAUUUUUUUUAUUUUUAUCUUUUAGGCAUUUAUAAAAUAAUAAAAAAUGUAGUUACUCCAAAAUAAUAUAUGUUCUCACUUCUUUAUUGAUAUUGCUUUAUUGUUCUGAAUAGUAAUAAUGAUAUAUAAUUUUAAUUAUACUAAAUGAAAGUGUUUAAUUUAUGACGUGAUGAAAUUAGUCAAUUCAAAUCUUCAAUAUUAUCAUAUAAUAAAAGUUCAUAUCUUUAAAAUUAUUAAAAAUAUUAUUUUAAAAUAGUUAACAACUAUAUUUAUUUAAUAAAAAUCACACUAUUUCAAUAAAUUUAAAAUAAAAUAUAAUUUUUAUAGUAAAUAUAUAUAAAAAUUACUACACAUUAACAUUAUAUAAACAAUAAAUAAAAUAAAUAGUCAAAUUCUAAUAAUACUUUUUCAUAUAGGAAAAUAGACUUGAAAAUAAAAAAAAAAUAUUUAAUCAUACUUUUUUUUCUUCAUAUUGAUUUAUGUGUAAAAAAUUAUAUAAUUGUGGAAUUACUCACAACAUUAUUAUGUUUUUCUUUUCAAAACCAUUAUUAUGGUUAUGUUUUAUAAAACUAAACUCAGUUUUAGAGAAGUUGUUUACAUGCGCUAAAAUUACGCUUAAUUGCUCUGAUGCGGUGCUUCCACUUCCAAAUUCUCACACGGAGAUUAAAGGGCUCUUUGUGCACUUACGAAUUAAAUUGGGUCCGGCCCAAUAUCUUCCCUAUGUUUAGCCGAUAGUCAAAAAAACGUCCAUAGUCCAGCAGCUAACAAUAUAAAGCCGACCAACUGAAAUUGCUUUCAGCACCUUCAUAAUUACUUCCUGCACCAUUCUGGAUUAGGUGCAUGAAGCAAAGAUUGAGGUGCACGAAGAAAUUUUCAUCCCCAAUUCACUUAUAACCGAACAACACAAUAAAGCAAGUUUCACCAUUCUAACCUUUCAGUUGAACCGAACACAACCUUUAUGUUAUUCCAACAGUCUCAUUAGAACUUAGAAGGGUAGUCAAUUGAUAAGAAUAAUAAUACAUUCAUUUAUUUUUAAUUUGCAAAUAAUAUCUAAAUAAGGAUAAAAUUUAAGCAAAAUAAAUUAUAAUUAUUUUUAAUACAAGCAGGGAAAUUAAACUUAACUGGCUGAGAUACUUAAUAUUUAUAACCCUUAAAAUAUUUAUAAACUAUUUAUGCAGCAGAAUAAUAAUAUCAUGUAUCCUCUCUUAUUUUCCUAUUGUCCAUAUAUUUCCGAAUGUACUUACAUUUUAAAUUUUAAUAAACGGUUGAGGUGUAUCUUAGAUAAUACAGAUACAUUAUUUAUUUUUUCCACAUGUGUAUGCUAAUUUUUAAUCCUUGCUGUUGAUGCUUGUUCACCAGGAUGCGCUUAGAGGCCUCCUCAUUGCCCUCAAAUUUUCUGUCCUCUUUUGAGCCAUUGUUGUGUGCUUUCUCUGAGAAAUCUGCAUAGUUGCAUGAUAAUUACACAGUGAUUUUAACUUAAUAUCCAUGCAAUAACUUAUAUUUGAAAGAUAACCACUAACCUCUUGUUUUCUCUUGCGUUCAGCUUCAGCCUGGCAGAUUUAAAUGAAGAUAAAGUAUGUUAAACAUCAAAAAACAUAAUUCAUUAAGGAAAAAAAUAUGAACAAGAAUCUUCAAUUUCAAUAUUGUCUACCAGAGUUUGUUUGAGCUUUUCGUUCUCUUCCUUUAGCAGAUUCAACUCUGCUUCUAGUUCCACCGUAUAUGCCUGCCUUACAAGAUUUUGACAUCAGGGAAAAGACCUUGAAUAAUGUGCAUAUAUAAGAUAGAAGUAACAUAGCUCAUGUAACUAACAUAGCACACAAAAUGAACAAAAAAUGAUUAGAUGAAAUAUGGCGUACCAUACUAAGUUACAUGACUAAUAACUAACAAGCAUAUCAGAUUGAUCUAUAAUAAAGACUAGCUUAUGAUGAGCACAAAACCUGUCUUCGUGCUCGAGAACGUGCAGCUGAUUCUCGAUUCUUCAACAUUCUGCGCUGCCUUCUCUCUACUACCACUUCAGGAGGACCAUCAAUGAUCCUCUUCCUAUUACCCUUCCCAUUUGAUUCUCCCAAGCUUGGACAUUUCUCCACAGCACCAUUUGUAGUGAGAUCCUUUACAACUAAGUUGUUAUUCUGUGCCAACAUGUUUUGUGUUUCAAGUCCAUUACAAGACACACUAGAUCCUGUCCCUAUUACAGGCCUCAACCUAUAACCUGCACCCAAUGGUCCAUUACUUGCAAUGUUACCAAUCUGAUUCUGAGGUAAUAAUGAAGACUUGAAUAGUGAUGAUGAUUCUUGUACCACCCCAGCUUUUACUAGGAAAUCCUCUAAAGUCAUUUCCCCAAGUGUUUGUUGCCUUUUGAGUAGUGGCUCAUUCCUUGCAAGGCUAUUGUUAGCAUCAUUGUGGUCUGGUUGGCUUUUGUGGAUCUGAGACCAAACUUCAUCCACUGUUUUCUUGCAAAUUGGAGGAGGGACAGAUAAUGAGCCUGGCUGGGAAAUUGUGGUGGGUUCUGUUGCUAUUACACUUUUACCCUUCGCAGCUUCAUCAAGGGUUGGUAGUGGUGGGUUAACUUGGUUGUUAUCAUCUGAGUUCCAAAUGCUGGAAAGGAAUUCAUCCAUGUUCAUGGAACCUAAGCUCUUCCCAUUCUUGCAAUAGAACUCAUCAAGGGUGAGUGAGAGUAUUGAGUUUUGUUUGCUCAGUUGAGAAAAUGUGGCUUCUGGUUCUUGCAAUGGCACCUCUUGAUUUGGUUGUUGGAGAGACAUGUGUUUGUAUAAAGCUGCAAAUUCUUGGAACAACCUGCCAUAAGCAACAGCUUUUGUCUCAGAAACUACCAUUAUUUAUUGCAAAAAAGAAAAAAAGACAGAGAAAACUUCAUGAACUCUCAGAUUUAAAGUUCUUAAGAAAUUGAAGUGCAUCAAAUCAAUGACUUGAAUUUAAUUUUAACAAAUCUGCCUGAGUAUUCAACCAACCCCCCUACCCCCCCAGAAGAACAAUAAAGAAAGAAAAAGAGAAAAUUAAUAGUAAGACACAAAUUUGAAAGAUAAACAAUUAAAUCUAAAAAAAAGGAAAAUGUAAUAGAUAAUUCACAUUGCGUAUCAGAUAAUUCAGAUGCUGUAAUUGAUGCUCUGAUAGGAUUAUAUCACCAAAUGACCAGUUGCAUGCAACAUGCAAACAUGCAUCUGAAUAUGAUCCACAUGAAAGAACAAGGUAAAGGGAAAGAAAUAUAAGCAAAACCACAUAAUGAACUUGGAAAAGGAAAAUAAAACUAAAAGCAAGGGUACCUGAACACAAACAGAAGGGAGAAUCUGAAUUCUAAAACAGAGAGAUUUGGAAUUAGAAAAUAUCAGAGAGAAAAGAAGGAACACCAACAGAGUGAAAGAAAGGGAGAGUGAGGAGAAGGGAAGGAAUGGUAACAGUGCAAAGAGACAGAGACUUUAACUGCCAUUGGUAACAUUUAAAACAACAUUUCUUUCACUCAGUUUAGAGCAUUACUUUUUCAUUGACAGUUUGACACGUUCUGCGUCAUCAACCGUUUUCACCUUGGUAUCUCACUGAAAGCGUUUUUAACUUUUUAUUUCCAUUUUUUUUAAGUCAAAGCAUCUACCCUCUUUUAAUGUCUCUUGUCUUUUUCUUUAUCUGUGAAUAAAAAAAUAGUAUUAUUUAAUGAAGAUUUUUUUUUUACAAAAAUAAUGUUAUUUUAAGAAUAUUUUAAUAGAAAAAAAUUAAUAGUCCAUAAAAAGUAUUAUUUAAAAAAGAGAAAUUUAUUUAAUGAAGUGUCACUUUUUCAAUUAGUUGAAUAGAUAAAGGUAAAUUAGAAUCCGGGGGAGGUUAUAGAACUUUUCUCUUUGGUUCACAUUGGCUAAGUAUUUAGUAUGAAUAAUGUUUUGUGAAUACUUAUUUGUUAAUAGAUAUUAAGAAAGAAAUCAACGAAUCUACAAUUUUUUAUGAUAUUCAAUUUCUAUGAAAAAAGAUAGAAGGAAAAAAAAUAUAAAUAUGAUGGAAUAAGAAAAGAAAAAAAAAUUGUGACGAAUAAGUAUUAAUACUAUUUAGUUGUUGAAUGUUGGUGUAUUACUGUUGUUCUAGUAUCUAACCAAUGCAUGCCCGUAAAUCGGUGUUAAGCAACCUCGGAGUUACAUUUUUUUGUGAUGUUAAGACUGAUUCGUGAAUUUAAAAGAAAUUUUAAAUUGUAAGAAUUUUAAAUAUUUAAAUUGAAAUUCUUUUAUUUUUAAAAUUUUUUGUUUGGAUAAAGAAAAUUAAAAUUAUGAGGGUGAAAAUAAAUAAAUGAAAAAAAAGAAAAGAUAUGGUUAGUGUGCUAGUUAUACGUGUUUCUUUAUGCCCACACUCGAUCGAUGGUCUAAGAAGAGAAUUUCAAUUUCUCAUAUUUUAGAAGGAAAUUGAAAUUCCAGAUUUUUAAAUGCUUAAAAUUAUGUUUAAAAAUUUUAAAUUCUUCACAAAAAAACAUCCAAAUAAUGAAGUCUAGAUUACAGAAAUUCAAAUUCUCUGAUAAAUUAUUUUCCCCACUUAACAUUCUCUAUCUAAGAGUGUGUUUGGAUGAGAUAAUUUUAAAUUUUGAGAAUUUCAAAUGCUUUAAUUUAAAUUCUUUUAUUUGUAAAAUUUUGUGUUUGAAUACAAUCUCUCUCUUCAAAAAACUAAAUUUUGUGACAUAUUUGUUUAAUAUAAUGAAUUAUUUAAAUGCUAACAUAUUCAAUAUUUUAUUUUAGAAACAAUAAAAUAAUACAGUGGUAUGAAAAAAUAUAAACAUAAAUAGUUUAAUUUAAUUAUUUAAUAAAUUAUUUUAAAAAAUAAAAUAUUAUAUAUAUUUAAUAAUUUCAUUUAUAUAUAUAUAGUCAAUUACCCGGCCCACACAUUUAACAGAUUUGACACAUAUUGAAUCAAAUUUAACUAAAACUCACUAAAUUAAUAUCGAACUAAUUGAAUUGAUUUUCACACCUGUGAACAUAGGCAAAAAUAUCAAAUGAAGUUCAUUUUCCAAAUUAUUUACCUAAAUGGGUCAAUUUUGAAAUUAUUUAUCCCAUGGGUCCAUUCCAUUUUUUUUAUUACAAGGCGCCUCCCAAAGGACGCGUUUCCCGUGAAGGUGACACGUGACAGGACAUUACAGACGCGACAGGUAGUGCUACUGCAGCAUGUUGGGUCGUGUUGGGGAGCCAGGCACGACGGGUCGUGCUGGGACCCAGGCAUGACCCAGUUGGAUCGCACUUUAUUUAAUAUUUAAAUAUUAAAUAAAUCAUUAAUAUUAGAAAAAAAUAAAAAAAAUAUUAAAUAAAAUAUAAAAUAUAAAAAAGUAAAAAAUAUUAAAUAAAAUAAUAUAAAAAUAUUAUAAAAACAAUAUGCAAAAAUAUAAAAAAUAUUUACUGAAAUAAUAAAAAAUAUUAUUUUAAAUAAAAUUAUUUAUGACUUUAAACUCUAAAAUUGAAUUUUAAAAAAAUAUAUUUUUUUUACGAUUUUAGUAUAAAAAAUAAAAAAUAAUUUUUGGUAAUAAGAUAUUUUCAUCGGCAUUUAAAGUAAUAAGACAUUUUCAUAAAAUUAUUUUAAAUAUCUUAUUAUGAAUUUUUUUUAUUUUUUUCUAAAAUCGUAAAAAAAUUAUAUUUUUUUAAAAUUCAACUUUAGAGUUUAAAGUCAUAAAUAAUUUUAUUUAAAAUAAUAUUAUAUUAUUAUUUUAUUAAAUAUUUUUAUAUUAUUUUAUUUAAUAUUUUUUACUUUUUUAUAUUUUAUAUUUUAUUUAAUAUUUUCUUUAUUUUUUUUCUAAUAUUAUGGAUUUAUUUAAUAUAUAAAUAUUAAAUAAAAUAUAAAAAAUAUACUAAAUAAAAAUAAUAUAAAAAAUUAUUUAUGACUAAAAUCAUACAUAAUGCUAAGAAUUUAUUUAAUAUAGAAACUAUUAAAUAAAAUAUAAAAAAUUAAAUAAAAUAAUAUAAAAAUAUAUUAAAUAAAAACAAUAUACAAAAUAUAAAAAAUAUUAAAUAAAAUGUGUCCCAACUGGGUCAUGCUUGAGCUCCCAACACGACCCACGUGCCUACUACAGCAGCACUAUCUGUCGCGCCUGUACGCAGGACGCGUUCCAUGUCCUGCCACGUGUGACCUUCACGGGAAACGUAGCCUUCGGGAAAGCGCUUUGUAAUAAAAAAUAGAUCCAUGGGAUAAAUAAUUUUAAAAUAGACCCAUUUAAGUAAAUAAUCUGUAAAAAGAACUUCAUUUGAUAUUUUUGCCUGUGAACAUCCUUAUAAUCACCUCAAGUCACCAUUUGAUCUAUCCGGUGAUUUUUUGUUGUCGACAUAAUCUAACGGAUGAUUAUUUAAGCCAAAAUCUAAUUAUUUCAUAUUCAGAAUAUAUUGAUACAAACCCGCAAUUAUACCACCUUUUUCGUUUUCUCAACAGAGAGAGAAUCUUUCGGAGUUCGAUCGUUUGCGUGUGCUGUGUGAUCAGUCACCGAUGGCAGCACCACCUGCGAGGGCACGUGCCGAUUACCAUUACCUCAUCAAGCUUCUUAUUGGCGAUUCAUUAGUUUGGAGACUCUUCAUUUUAGUUAUGUUUAUGUUUUUUAAACCUGGAUUGAAUGCUAUUAUCUGGUUAAUUGUCUAAGAUGAGGCAAUGGCCACAGGAUGAUAUACACGGUCAACUUAUUCAACUGUUUAGGGAGGAAAAGUAAUAAAGUAUAGCUUCACAUAAAUUUCUCAGUAAACACUUAUAGUGAAGGAAAUAACAAGUUACAAUGAAUUAAGUUUCUCCCAAGUUAAAAGUAACUUAUGCAUAAGUUAAAAUCAGUUUUUGGAUAAAUCGUUCCGAGAGAGCUUCUAUAAAAGUUUAAGUGGAUAAGUUGAUUUUAACUAAUGAUACAAGCUUAAUUCAUUUAGUGGUGUUUGAAGUGUCCAACAUCUUUUAGAAAGUAUACAGAAUUGGGUAAUAUUUCACCAUGGAAAUUUCAUAUUUUCAUUUUAUUUUGUUGUACUGCACUAUAUGUGUUAUUCUGAAGCUGAAAAUUAUAUUCUUACUUGUGAUCAGUGUUACUGGACUUGAAGAUCCCGAUUGUAGAUGAUUAGCGCAGCAGGUGGUGUUUGAAGAUUUCUGUGUGUUUUCCUUUCUGAUAAGUUCACAGUGAUGUCUAGUUUAAGCUAUAUAUGACAAACAUGGUGCUGUAAUCUUCGGAUAUUAAUUUGUAUAGUUUGCUCCUUUGUUUAUUUGACCUCACGUGUUUUUCUUAUCAUAAGUUGUUUAAAAAGUGGAAAUGUAUGAUUUACUUCUUUAUUUAUUUGAUAUAUGGUGCAUACAGGAAGCCAAAAACCAUUGCCUCGAAUGUCUUUCACUACAAAUUAUUCAUAAUAAUAGACAAUGUCCAAUAGGAAUCAAUUAUGGUUGUUAGUUUCAACCAGGUGAAGUACAUGGCGGCGAAGGAACUAUGUUUGUGAACAACCCAAAACCAUUUUCUCUUUCAAUUACUCCCACCCAUUUCCCCUCCUUUAUAUUUAAUCUACUCUUCUCUUUUUAUUUGUGAUAUUUUGAAGGAAUUCAUGUUUUUGAUUCUGGGAUCCAAGAUUUUAAUGCAAUGUACCUCUGGUACAACAUGUUGCAUAAUGUCUCCGUGGUCCUAAUCAAAAGCAUGUACUGUAACUAUGAAGGCCAAAAUUAUUGUAGCCAAAAGUCUCGCUGAAAAUCCAAAACAAACCAGGAAGGGAAUAACAGUAGCAGAUUACUUUUUCAAUAUUGAAAAAGAAAGUAAUAAGAAUGAAAAAUGAAAAGGUAGUCUUAUUCAAAACCCCAACCAAUUAUGAAAUCUCCUAUCACCCACUUCCCACACACUGUUCUUUCACAGAGAGAGAGGCGCUUUCACAUCUUCACAUCUUCUUAGGCUGAGAAGAAAAAAUAUUUCCAUUUUUUAGAAUACUUCGGAAACAGAUAUCCACUGGAGAUGAAGGGGUGGGGCCUUUAGCUACAUGACAGAUUGACUUCAGAUGGUAGAACUAAGUCAAUUUAAUCCAAGGGCUUGCUUUAUUUACAUAAGGAACAAAAUCUAUUAGCAUUUGGAGGUCUCGUGAGCUCAUAGCAGUGUGUAUUUAGUUCACAUUACUUUUAUAUAAAAAAGGUAAAAUUAUACUUUUGGUUCUUCACUUUAGGUUCAAUUUCACAUUUGUUCUCUGAUAAUUUAAUUCACGAAUUGAGUCUUCCUGUUUUAUAAAAUUCUACAUCUUAGUCCCUGAAAUCUCAAUUGAAGUUUGACUGUUAAGCUCAAUAUUGACUGUCACGUGUAAUAAAUUGGGGUUUAUCAGGACCCAUACUUCGGGCUUCUGGAAUAUAAUGAGAUCUCCACAAAGUGAAUAAUUAUGAAUGUUAUGAAGAAGUUCAAUGGCAAAAAGAAGGAGAUUCCUUAACUGUUAUUUAGUUCGAAUUGGUGAAAUGAUGGAAUCCAUAAAAAUUAUUCAACAGGCUUUGAAAGGAAUUUUCGGUGGACCAUAUGAAAAUUUAGAAAUUUGCUGCUUUGAUAGAAAAAAAGAGCCAAGAAUGGAAUGAGUUUAAGUAUCAAUUUAUUAGUAAAAAACCAUGUCCGACUUUUGAAUUGUCAAAACAAGAACAACUUUAUGUAAGAAUUGAAGCCCCCAAAGGAGAAUUGAGAACUUUUCUAAUAGGGGAUCAAAGUCUGAGAGACUCUUGAAAAUUUUUAUUUAUCUAUGGUGAAACACUUACCCAAUUUCCUCUAACCCUAAUCCCUAACUCAGUCCCACAAAUUCUAAAACUAAGUCCCCCUAACCCUAAUUCUGUCACUCCUUGGUCAAACACAGCGCGUAGAGCGCAGUCGCCGCCUCCUUCUUCCCGUGCAAUCCCCCUCCUUCUAGAAGCUUCACCAGAUGCGGUCCCCGCCUUCCUUAUCACUACCUUCUCUUCCUCCCUGUUGUGCGAUAAACGAACCAAGGUGCACGUCGCGUUCUCCUUUGCCGUCAUCGUCCCUCUCUCCAGCGCCGCCACCAACGCCUUCACCGCUCCAUGAGAAGCGAUGAGCUCCUUGUUCUCGUCACAGAGGGAGAGAUUCAGAAUUGCGAUCACCACGUAGUCCUGAAGCUGAAGGUCUGAUGAUGGUAAGAGUGAAAUCAAGGGCUAAAUGGUGCCGGCUUUUGUGAUUAUGGGGCGGUUGUCUUGCUUGUUUUCGGUUUUUUUUUUUUGGAAAACUUUAGAAUGAGGGAAACUCACCAGAACAGAAGGAAAGGAAAAGUAUAUUCCGCGGAGUGUUCCCGACGCAAAUUGAUGUCUCCAAACGCAGUGUUAGAUUUCAAUCAGUACAACAACGAUUUUCAACAAUAUUGAAGCUGAAACUAGCAACAGGGUUACUGGGGUUAGUGAAAAUGGAUCCAGGAAAGUUUAAAACUUUCUGAGAAUGCCGCUUGUAGAAACGGAAAUGUUAAGGUUGCUGCCAAAACAACAGAAGUACAAAUAUAAUAGAAGGAACUGUUGGUUACUAUCUACUCCAUAUCAAAUGGGUAGGUGUAUCAUAAAAAAAGACAAGCUGUCAUUUUUUGGAGAAAAGAAUAAGGAAAAUAGUGAGAUUUGUACUUUGAAGCCAUUAUUUUAUUGCAGUGUUUCUGAGUUUGAAACUUUUCUGAGAAUGCCCCUUUUUUCACUAUGUAGGAGAUCUGAUCCAGGAAAAGCAGGAGGAAGAUGAAGUUUCAGUGGUCAUUGUUGAAGAUCCAUGGCUUUAGGGUAAUUUUUUAAAAACCAAGCUUUAGGGUUGGGGUAAAAUACACAAAGGUAAAAAUUAUACUAUUAGAGAUUGACACGUGAUAAUCAACAUUGUAUUUUUUUUACAAAAUGAAGGAUCCAAUUAGUAAAUUAAAUUAUGAGAGACCAAAUUCAAAAUUAGACCUAAAGUGAGGAACUAAAAGUGUAAUUUUGUCUAUAAAAAAUUAUCAAUUUUUAAUAAGUUUUUGAAGAAAAUAAAAUUAUUUCCUGAGUUUUUUUGUUUUGAUUCAAAAUAAUGUGCUUACAAAGUCAUUGAUAUUAAGUCAUUUUUGCAAUAAGAAUAUAAGAUAGUGUUUUUCAAAAAAAAUUUAAAAUAAUGCACACUAAAUCGUAUUUUGUAAAAAAAAAAAACUUACUUGUUUACUUUCUUUUCUUUUACAUUUCCAAUUGUAACAGAAAAAAACUGAGGGUAUACCUCAUGACUAUUCUUUACAUGGGUAUUGGGAUUUCAAAACAUUUUUUUAAUAAAAAAUAUUAUGAUAUUCAAUUAAGAUUUUUAAAUGAUAUAAAUAAAUCUUUUAGUAUUUAAUUAAGACUUUUAGGAUUUUUUUAAGAAGUAAAGUAAAAUUUAAUAGUAUUCAAUUAGAAUUUUUUAUAACUUAAAAGGUCUUUUAAUUAAUAUUAAAAAAUAUACAAAUUGUAACGAUUGUGAUAAAUUUCAUUGGAUUUUACCUAAUUUUUUAGUAUAAAACAUUUAUUAAGUAAUCUCAUUAAUACCCUUGAAAUUUUCCUAAACUUUUUCUUUCUUUUUGUAAUAGUUAUCAAACUUUCUUUUAGCACAGGUAUCUUCUACUUUUUUUAAUGCACAACACAAAAAAAAUCUAUUCAAAUGAAAAAGAUAUUGAACAAUUGUUAAAAAAUAAUAUUAUUCAAGAUAUAUAUGUUAUAUAUGUUUGUCUUAUUCUUUUGAAACCAAGAAAUGUCAAAUAUAUUUAUUUCUUUUAUAUCUUUUAUAUUUUUUGUUUGUUUUUUAAAUUAAAUUAAUGUCUCUCUAUUACCUGUAAAAAAAAUAUAAACUAUGUUGAUUUAUUUCUUUUGAAAAAAAAAUAAGACAUCAUCUUUUUAAUCUACUACAGAAAAUUCCAUGAAUAGAUAAAAAAUUGUUAUUCAUAAAAUUUUGAAAUUCGCUUGAAUACUAAUAAUAAUAAUAAUAAAGUGACUACUUAGUAAGUGAUUACAUCAUAUAAUUAUCAAAAUAAAGUGACCCGAAGGGGAAUAUAGGAAUACUGUAAUUAAGAAGACAGCAAUUUUAUAUAUGGCAUGGUUCUGGUCAUCCUGAUAUAGCCAUCCACUCUCCCCAAGCUCAUCUUCCUUAACCAAAAAUUCGUCAGAUUUACACCAUCAUGAACAACUCAUAACUUCCUAAAACACCAUCCACCCGUGCCCCCGUUACAUCGAUGCAGGACCGUUGAAUUCCACAAAGAACAAAACCCAAGUUUUUUUUUUUUGUUUCAACACUUUUUUUGUACAGAUUUUUUUGUUAUACACUGAUACUGAAAUUAGUUAGAAUAUUUAUAACUUAUGUAUAUUUUUCCAAAUCUUUUACUACUUGGUGGAUCCUAGUCACUCAUAAUCUUUUUAUAAGUUAUAUAUCGAUUAUUACAGUACUAAUAAGUUUAAAUAUAUUGUAAUUUUAUUGAUCCAACAACAAAUAAAUCAUAAGAAUAACAAAAAAGGAAAUCAAAUUAUUUAUAUUAUUAUAUAUUUUAAAAGUAUAUAUUUUGUCAAUUUUGAUAUACAUAAAUAAUCUAUCAAUUAAUUUUGUAUUAAUACAAAAUUAUGUAAAUAUGUAUGAUUUAUAUAAAAGUAAUUUUCAAUCUAAGGGCAGUUGAGUAAAAAAGUUAUUCAAUUAAAUUAAAGUUAUUAAAUAAUUAAGUUAGUUGUUAGCUUAUAUUUUUUUAAUGAAUUUAAUAUCUAUAUACUGAUAAUGAUAAUGUAGAAUAAAUUUAUAUUGUCAUUUAAUUUAAAUUAUUUUAAAAAUUAAAUUUUUUACACUGUAUAAAACUUUUUCUCAUAUCAUAUUAACAUUAACUACUUUAAAUUUUAACUAUUCAUAUAUAUGUACUAUGAUUGUUAGUGUUCGUUAAAGAGAUCGAAGUUACCCUAAAUUGCUUAUUUAGAAAACGAUUUGGGUUUAAACUUGGAAAUUCUAUAUAACAAAGUUAUGUGUGAUAUUGUUAAAAAUAUUCUUUAAAUUGUAUAGCUUACAUUGACUUUAGAAGGCAUAUAGACUAUCGCUAUCCUAAUAUUUUAUUCAAUUUUUUUAAUAAUAUAUAGUAAAAAAUACUUUUAAAGAGAUUAUUAAAAAAUAUUAUAUAGGUUAAUAACUAAACUUUUUAAGUGUGCAUAUACCGUGAGUGAGAGCGCGGAGGAGGAUUGAUGAAUGAUAACAUAAAAUUAUUCAAUAAAAAAUAUAAGACCCAUUUUGAUUUAUAUAUAUAGAUAUAUAAACUGAUCUUUCAACGUAUAUAAACAAAUAUAUGGAAGGAUAAGAUUCUUUCUACAUAUAUACUUAUGUCUAAUGAAUGUAUGAGAGGUAAAAGAAUGGUUUUCAUUUUAUAUAUGAAUGGAUAUGAUUGAUUUUUAAAUACAACUUUAAUCAUUCGCCAUUUGUUUAUGAUCAAGAUUAGAUUUUCUCAUACUCUCACACAUGAUUUAUGUGUGUGCAAAGUUUAAGGAAAAUAUACUAACACUAAAAUUAAAUAUAUGCCGUUUUAUAUCUUUUUUGAAAAGAUGUUAUUUUAUAUAUUAUCAAUAAUUUUCUGAAUGUGAUGCAACUCUAGCCUUUUCAUAAUGUUCCUCUUUUUCAACUUUCCCCCUCUACAUUCUUUAAUUCUCGCUUCCCUCCAUGACUCCUAAUUAAGUAUUGAAGGGUCAGCAGUAUAAAUAUAGGGUUUCUGCUUCACAUUUACACACAUAAAGCUAGCCCUCAAAAGCAAGUACAUUAACUAUAUAUUUUGUUCCUCAUAGCUUCACACUCAUUUUCAGAGGCUAAUUCUUCAACUAGUUAACCUUUCAUGACCAUGAAUAUGAUAUCAUCAGAUCCUCUUGUUAUUGGGAGGGUGAUCGGAGAUGUAGUGGAUCAUUUCACUCCAACUGUGAAAAUCACUGUCUCCUACAACAAUAAGCAGGUCUAUAAUGGUCAUGAGUUUUUCCUUUCCUCAGUAACCACUAAGCCUCAGGUUCAGAUUCAUGGAGGCGAUAUGAGAUCGUUCUUCACUCUGGUAUGUACCUAUACUUCUUCUCACUCUCUAUCUCUUCGAUCGAUCUUUUCAUAUCUUACUGUUUUCAUUUCUGUAUAUUCCAUUUCCAUGCAUUUUUUUCAGGUCAUGACAGAUCCAGACGUUCCUGGCCCUAGUGAUCCAUAUCUGAGGGAACACUUACACUGGUAUACAUAUGAUACUAUAUAUAUACUAUGUAUAUGAUUUAUAUAAAACACCAAUAUAAACUAUUGCAUGCAGAUUUAGGUCUUCACUCUACCUUAAUUUUCUUGACUUGUAAUAAUGGAUUAAGUAAUAAAAAAGGUAAAGUACAUAACUACAUAUAUAGGAAUAUGGAUAUAAUAAGUUGAUAUGGAAAGAAAACAAGAAAUUAAACGCAUGCAUAUAGAAAUAGAAGAGUUUCAGAUGAUAAUACACAAUAUAUAUAUAUAUAUAUAUAUAUAUAUAUAGGUGAUUUCAUUUUCUAUAUAUGGUCUGAGCCUGACUGAAACAAAGUGUCCGACCAUAUUUAAUAACUCACAGGAUGGUCACAGAUAUCCCAGGCACAACGGACGCCACAUUUGGUAAAUUACUUAAUCUCUUAUUAUAGAUAUAUACACAAGCAGUUACACAUAGAGAAUAGCUUUCAUUUUACUUUAUUAUUAUAUUUUUCUUAAGAAAAAAAAAACAUAUACUACCGUGUGUGUUUGAACAGGAAAUGAGGUGGUGGAGUACGAAAUUCUAAGGCCAAACAUAGGGAUACAUAGGUUUGUGUUUCUGGUUUUCAAGCAGAAGCGAAGGGGGAGUGAUGAAAACAGCAACAACAAGGGUUCUCUUUAACUCGAGGAGCUUUGCAGAGGAGAAUGAGCUGGGGCCUCUUGUGGCUGCUGUGUUUUUCAAUGCUCAAAGGGAAACCGCUGCCAGAAGACAUUGAAUAAUGAACCCCACAAAAACUAUAGCCUAUGUAGCUGUGGUAUUAAAACCUUUUAGAUGUGACAGAGACUUGUUAAUACAUUAUGCACUAUGCCACCGUACGUAUAAGAUGCCAACACCUCUUUAUCUCUGAUUCUGGGACGAAAUCAAACGACAUCCAAAAAUGCAUGAAUGGAAGUACGAACAAUAUUGUUGUUGUUGUUACUCUAACUUCAAAGACUUCAAGGAAUGACCUGAUUAUAAUUGACUUGUUGUCUUUCUCGAAGGUGGAACUCCAUAAUUUACAAAUCCCACUCUUUUGAGAGCUGAAGAUUCUGAAGUUCAUGUUCACUGUAUAAUGCAAUAUGAACCGAUAGAUAAAAGAAUUUAGGCGUGCGUAGCUAGGCGCCAUUCUGAAUUUCUGACUCCCUAAAAAGCUCAGGCUAGCUGCUAAUCUAAAACAGUGUUUACCUAUAACAAGGUUUUUUUUUUUUUUUUUUACUCAGCUACCUAUAACAAGUUAUAACAUUUUAUUUUCCAUUUUACUUUAUGAAAUUAUUGGAAUGGAAAACUGUAUUCAACAAAUAUAGGUAUACAAGGUUAAACUAGUGGAAACAUAACAUAUCCCUUUCUUGUUAGAAGUGAGAAAUUACUUCUUAACGAUCGAUCAUGUGAAUCGGAAAAUGCCAUAUUUCCUUAAAGAGAAAGCCUCUAUAUCUAUUUGAGAAAUUCUAUUAAUAACAUUUUUAUAUAUAUAAAAAUGUGUACAACAUGCAAAGGCAUAAAGAGAAAUAUGUGAUGAAGAGAGAAAAAAAAUUAUUGUAAAAAGUGUCAUAGAAAGUUGUUGUAUAAAUAAUAUAAACUCAUUUCCAUCUAAAGAAAAAGAAUAAUGUAAUUGAAACUGUUAACAUGAUUAUAUAUAUUCUUAAAUUAAGAUUAUCGAUCAUAUUGACACUGAUAUCAGCGUCCUUACGUAAACACUCCCAUGCAAAUCCUCCUUAAAAGAAAAAAAAAAGAAAAAACAAUGCCAGAUUUUGUUUUCGUCAUUCAUAUGAUCUCAAAUGUACUGAACUUCCAAGGCGUUGUCAAAGUUCGUAUUUUUGGUUUUUCAGUUAGAAUAGGACUUCGAUCUGCAGGAAGCAGUACCGGUUGCAUCAGAAUCAAGCAAUAAGAACAUGUUCGAGUGUGCAACUAUAUAUGCACAUGCCACAGUGCUAGAGAUCUUUAUACGGUUGAAAUAUUAGGCUUAGUUAUAUAUUUUGUCCUCUUGCUUUUACUUUAUGAUUUUGCAAAUUUUGUCACAAUAAUUUUUUUCUCAACAGGCAGGGGCAUGUUGCCUUGUAGUUUUAAAAUUUCAUGAAUUUUGUUCUUCCAUUAGGUUAACAUUCAUUAUCUUUAGUUGACUAAUGAUAUGAUAAUGUUAGCAGUUAACGUGACACUCUAAUAUUGACGUUAACAAUAUACCCAUGGACACAUGGUACUUAAUAUGGAUAUUAAGAGAUAAAAUGCAUGAAAUUUUGAAAAUUGAUGGGCAAAAUACACUUAAAAUAAUAAAUGAUAAAAAUGUUCAAGGUCAGAUUAAAAUCUUACCCUUUUCCUACUCAAUUACCAUUAAAUUCACUAAUUAAGUCCUUUAACUUAUUUAUCAUAUAGAAUAAAAAAUAUUUUAAAUAUAUUAUUGUCGUAUUUGUUAAUUGCACAUUUGAUCUCUCAAAGUAUACCAUUGUGCGAAUUUAAUUUUUUAUUUAAUAUUAAAUCUAUCUUAUUUUAAUUUAAAAAUAAUAAUAUAAUUUCUUAAAAAUAAAUCACUUAAAUAAAAAAUUAAAAUAUUAAAUCCUCAAAAAAUAAUGAAAAAACUAUUAAACAUUUUAAAUUACAAAUGUGAAUAUUAUUAUCUUUUUAAUUAAGCUUAAUGAACAUACAUAAUGAAAAACUAUUAAAUUAAUUGAUUAAUUAUAUAUUAUUAGAAAAAUUAUAUUAUUCUUAUUUAUAAAAAAUUAAACAUUUUUAAUUUUCUUAUUCUUUCUACAUAAUCAAAUAAGAAAACAGAAAACUUUUACUUUCUUUCCUUUUAUUUUCUCUUUUAUCAAAAAUCUUAAAAAUCAUUUCACUUUUUCUUUUUUUCUUUUUUCUUUUUUUUUUUCCUAAAUCAAACCAAGCAUUAGGGAAAUAAUAUGUGGAGUACGUAGGAUAGAUUGGUAUAUAAUUUUUUUGGGAUUCAACAUGUAGUUUCUCUGUGAAGUAGGAUACAUUGGUAUAUAAUUUUUUUUAUGAUUGGGGGGAGGGAGGGAUAUUAAAUAAAUAAAACUAUAAAAAUGGUCUUAAUUUAGCUCAAGCUUUUUUGCUCGCCCCUGUACUGUACAUUCUUUUAUAUUGCUCCUGUCAUGUGUCAUUUCUUUUUGAGCCUCCACUCUGAAAAGUAGAUUUGUUGUUCGUUUUCCAAACUAUCCACGUUUCCAUACCAGACUCCGUGUUAUCAUAUAUAGUAGUGCCAGAGAAACAAUUAAAAUGGACACUAUGGAUAAAUUUGCUAUAUAGCUCCCUAAAUUUCUCUGUUUAUGUUCACCUUUUAACUCUCUAAAUUUGUUGUUUUGUAUGUGUGUAACUUUUCCAAAAAUUUAGUUUUUAAUGGUGAAAAAUGAUUUCAUAUAAUAAAAAAUCAUCUACCUCGAUUAAUUGAAUAAAUACAUGAGUUGUUAUAUAAAAAAAAACUUAAGAUCAUCUAGCCCAAUUAAUUGAAUAAAUACAUAAAUUGUUAUAAAAAAAACUAUCCUUAUAUUUGAUUUUUAUGGAUAAAAAGAAUAAUAUUAUAUGAUUUAUGUAGCUAAUCUCAUUUAAUAAAAUAAGAAAUUAUUGUUGUUAUAUAUGCAUGUGUGUAGUUUAAUGACACUGACACUAACACAAAUAUGUUCAUUUUAAUUAUCAUUGUCGUUAUUAAAAUUUAAAUUUGGGUGUAAAUAGUCUAUCCCAAAAGUUAAUUAGCUCAUGGAGUGAAUAUUAUUCCUCACCUACAUACGUUAUUUAGUCGUUUCACUAGGCAACAUAUCUAUAGACAAAUAUAUACGUCCAUGUACUAAUUUCUCAUAUUGUAUCAAUUAUCCGCGCUGAGUAGGAGCUGAAAUGGGAGGUUUUGGAUGUCUUGGUAUUGGCUAAACCAUAUCCUUGAUCGAUGAAAUGAAAGAAAUGGUUCUCACCUCGCAUUUAAUCGAGUGGGUAUGUGUCUUCCUAGUUAAGAACUGGAAUACAUAAUGCAGAUCAAUUACUAAGGUACUGUUUGGUGGAGAGAGAGAAAAAAAAAACUGAGAUAAAAAAAUUUAAAUUAAAAUAGCCUAAAAGUGCGAGAAACGUAUCAAAUUUUAAAACUUUUCUCUCAUUUCUCUCCUCAUCUUCCCACAAUCUUCCUAAGUUCUGCGGUUUGAAUUACCUGAAUGUUUGAAAUGUCUUUCCUCAAUGCUAAGACCAUGACGAUGCUCGUGGAGGUGUGAAGAAAUGCAAAGGAAAGAAGUAGAAUGAAAAAAAGUGGGAAGAGAAAAAUGAGUACAAAGUAGGUGAAGUUUAAUUUUUGGACUAAAAAAGAAAUAAAUAAUAGAAAAAGAAAAAUUAAAUCAUCUCUACAUUUAUUUUUUUUACAUAAAAAUUUAAAGUAAGAGAAUAUCAUUUGUCUUAGAUUUAAGUUCAAGCAAUCCCUUGAAUUUAAUGUUUAUUUAUUUAUAAGACCGGGGGAGACCAUUAGAAAAUACGUAUAUUAAGUAUAUUUAUCAUAAAGGACUUUAAACUACUAUUAAAGCCCAUUUUCAGCAUAGUGUCAGUCCAGCCCAAUUUGGUAGCACUUUAUUAUCAAAUAGGCCUCCAGACCAAACUGCGAAUUUUGUUCGAACAAGAAGAACAGAACUUUAUAAGAUUCAUAAUACACAUUAAUUAAAUCAAUACUUCACUUGAAAAUGUAUACGCUCCUUUGAAUCUAAGUUUGUUUGGAUAAAUGAUUUUAUAGAGGAAAUGCAUGCUUUAAGGAUUUAAAAUUAUUUAAUAUAAAAUGUUUUGUUUGGAUAUUUAACACAACAUUUUGCAAAUUCUAAAGAAAUUUAAAUUAAGAAUUUUACGGUAAGAACAGAGACCCUAGAAUUCUAAUUAACAGGAUAGAUCCUUCACUCUCAUCUACGAUAACUCUAAUCUCCCCAUAGAUUUCAUUCAUAAUUACGUUGAUCAUGGAUUAUUCACCUAGAUAACUUCACUAUUUUCUCUUUUCUCAUUCAAUGAAACAAUGGUAUUGAUUUAUGUUGUUUAGUUCAAUGGAAAAUUUUGAAUGUUGCUAAUACAUUUGAGUUUCAUUGCAUCAUCAUCACUUAUCAACAUAGUUCUAGCUUCUUUUUCUGGUCUCUAUUCUGGCAAAAAAAAUGCAUGAAACUUAACUUUCAUAAUGACUAAUGACCUAGAUAGAAUUCCAUGGCAGGGACUACCUUGUUCAUGGAAAUUUUCUAAGGUCAUAUUUAAUGAAAUUUCUCAUAGGAAUUUCCUUUUAUCUAUUACUGACCAUGACUUUGCUUUACUUUUACAAUUGGAUAAGAAAUUGAUAGCUUGGAAUAUAAUACAAUGGUAGAGAUGAAAAUGCUAAUAAUGUCUUUACGAAUAUAAUUUCUAAAAUAAAUGUCCAAACAAGUAAUGAUGUAAAUGAAAGGAAUUGAACUGAUACAAUUUAAUUUUCCAAUAUUUUAAAUUCUCUAAAUUUUAAGUUUCUCAAUCUAAAUAUAAUUUAAAGGACUAGAUCACUAAAUACUGGAGAAUUGAAAGCACUUCUGUUUUUUUUAUUCCCAAUUUCGCUUUUAUUUGACGGAUUCACACUAAUGAUGAUGAAUUUGCAAGUCUUGGGCCUCGUUGGAAAAGUGACUAGAAUGUGGAAACCAUAUUUAGUGGAGUUCCUAUAAAAUAGCCUAGACGACUCAAUUGAACCCUUAAAGCUCCAAUGGUCAGGGUCUUCUCCAUUGAAAAUUAUUCAUCUCAAACUACAAGUUACGAUGAAAAGAAGAGGUCAAGGUCAAAUGAGUAUCCACUAUCCACUAAUUGUGUGGAGAAACUUCUAGCUUUGAUUAAGAUGGUCGAUAAUUUUUUAUGGAUUCACACAGAUAUUCUCAUUUUAAAAUAAUCAUGUUUGAGACACGAUCAAAUCUUAAAUAUAAAUAUUUCUUUUAUUUUUCCUAACGAAAAUUCAAACUUUAGUUCAUGUGAGAUACUAGUUCAUUUCACUAAAUUCAAUAUUCAUUGAUAUGAGAUGAUCGACAGUUGAAUAUAAUUAAGUUAGAUCCUCUAUUUUGUAAUUUUAAAAUGUGUUAUAGCCUAUAUGUCAAUGCGAAUAGUUAAUUUUUAAAAAUUUAAGCAAGUAGAUGUUUAGUUUAAUUUAUAUUAAAAUAAUUCUUUACUUUUACUUUUUUAUUUUUUUUAAAAAAAAAGUAUUUCUUUUUUUCAAAUUUAAGUUGAACUAAGCAUGUACUUAAUAUUGUCAAUGCACUCCACCAUAAUUUUUAAUAAAAAAACAUUUGAUAUAUUUAUUUAUUGGCAUUCUAGAAUCCUCGUGUUAGAAGGAACAUUAAUUAAUUUUAGCCCUGACCUACCCACCUUGACGUGAAAUUAUGGCGUUAACUUCCACUAACUUCCAAAACUUCAACUUUCACCCAUAAUUUUAAAAAUAUUAAAUGAUCCUAGGAUAAACGAGAAAAUGUACACAGUUUGCGAUUGGAUUAACAUAAUAUAAGAAAAGUUAUUCUACUCGGGUAAUUAUAUAAUAUUUGAGGAUUAGGAAUCAAAUAACACAUCUUUAGGUACAAAUUAUGAUAUUUUUUCAGUGUACUUAAAAAUAAACUGCAGAUUAAAGUAAUCACGUAUGUAUAAAUAAAUACUAGAAAUUAUAUCCAUUUAUACUUUAUUUAGUUGUAUUAAGACAUAUAUAGUUAAUAGUUGUGCUAGCUAGUACUAUUUGUUUACAACUUUCUUUUUGCUCUCCCUAGCUAGAGUGCAUUGCUAAUGACAUAUUGGUAUAUAGUAUGAACUUUUUUAUAAUAUCACACAUUUAAAAAAUCUUAUAAAAUUAUGAAUUAAACUCGGGGUAAGACUCUAAUGUUCUUCCUCCAGCCCAGGAUAUAGAAGAAAAGAAAGAAAACGACUACGGAAAUUGAACUCGCUUUUUACAGAUUCAACGCGGGGAAGCACUUAUGGCAGGACUUUGGGGGCAGUUUUAAUUAGUCAAUCCAAACCAAGCUAAUUUUAACUCCAUGAAUUUGUUUAAUCCCAUUCUUUCUGGACUUUGAUGGAGUAUAUUGAAAAUAGAUCAUGGACUUAAUCAUUACAGGAAGAAGUUAUAACAUACCAAUAUUGAAUUUUUAUCAUCGUUAUUAUAAUAUAUAUUAGUCCAUACUACACAAAUUAAACAUUAGUUUGUCUAUUCCGUCUCCGUCCAUCAGCUCCACCAAGACCGAGUCCUUCAAUUACGCACAACUUUUUUGAAUCAACCAAUUGAGAUCGGUUGGUCUUUAUACCAUCAGGUUUUGCUAAACAUUCCUUAAACUGAAGGAGCUUAACAAGAAAGAGACAGCUACUCAUGCUGCAAAAGUGCUUCUUUUUUGGGAAGCUUCUUCUUGGAUCACUAGAAUAUGCAUAUAGAUUGAUAGACACACAAUUCAAUAAUUUCGGCCCCAGAAAGACCAUGAAUCAUGUAUAUGAAUACAAUUGAAUAAGAUUUACUCAUUUUAAAUUGUAAUGUAUUAAAAACAAGCUAAAUUGAUUGAAGAGUUGUUAUAAAUCUCCUCAUACUUAUAUAUUGGAUUCCUACCAAUUAAAAAAAAAAAACAAGCGUCAUAAACCAAAUUGUUUUCUUCUUAAAAAAUUUGAAAGUGAGAUGACAAGACCAAGUAAUUAAAUAGGUCAGAAAAAAAAAAAAACAGAAAAUAUUGUGGCACUAUUCCAAUAUUUGGUCACUACUAAACAAAAUAAGGUGUAGAUCAACACAUUACCAAGAUUGAUAACAACUUAUUGGGUCAAUGAAGUUCUACAUUAUCAACAAAAAGAGUUCUUCAUUAUCAUCACACAAUUGACCUAGGCACAUGACUUCUAAAUCGGGAAUCAAAUUAAUUAAUGUAGGAUUUUUCCUAUCGUUUCCUCGCAUUAAGGGUUAUUACUCACAAAGUCAAGUCAGUAAGGCCAUUGUAGCUCAGUUAUACCCCUUGAACUGAAUCGUCAAAUUUGUGUUUUCAUAACCACCUUGAUGCAUAACUUCUAAACCGGGAAUCCUUUUGACAUGAGAUUUUCUCCUACAGUUUCCUAACACGAAGAACUGCUCUUGGUCACCAAAAAUCAUCAUUUUCAUAGGUUACUAAUCCGUAUGGGGAAGCCUUUAAACUAAUUGUCCAGAGUCUCUUAGAAUCAUCUAGAUGGGUAAGGAAUAGUGAGUUAGUUAUGUGGAGAAAAAGCAUGACAGUGAGUCUAUUAUAUAGAAGGAAAUUAAUAAGAAUAAAAUAUAUUUUUAGUUUUUUUACUUCUGAAUUUUAGAAAAAUAAUGAUUUUUUUCUUUCAUAGCAAACGAUUAAUUUUUAUGGUGAAGAGGGAAAAAAUCACUAUUAUUUAUAAAGUUGAGAAAUCCAAAUUAAUCAAAACUGAAGUUUUUGGAUUAAAAUCAAGUUUAAUCGAAAAUAAAAGAAUUCAAAUCAUUUUACUGCAUAAAUAUUAUAGAUGGGGAAGGUUUAUCAAAAUUAGUUGUUAAAAACCGAUUAAAAGAAGAGUUUUAAGAUUUUUUAACAACUAAUUCGUUUAAAAAACAAUGACAUAAAACAUUAUUAAUAAGUUUAUUCAAACAAAUUUUUCGUAAUAAUGAUAUAGUUAUUAAUGUGUUUUGUUGAACGUAUCAAUAAAUUGUCAUUCUUUUAAAAAAAAGUUGAUAAUUUUUUUUAAAAAAAUUAUGUGAUAAACAGUAAAAAUAAAAAGGCCUAUAACCUUUUUAUUUUUUUCAUUAUAUAUUUUACAGGUUUGCCUGUUAAAAAAUUUUAUGCUUUAGUGGAAGAGUUAGGUAAAUGAAAUCGAAAUAACACUGCUGUGCGGUUCAUGCAUACCUGCGUUAGCUGUCUUUCAUCAAUCAAAUCUCCUCCUAUUAUCAUUCUUUGCUACGGGAAAAGCUAUUUUUUUUAACAUAAACUAAGUUAUAGUAAAAUCACUUAUUAAUUAUAUUAUAUAUUGUGCAAGAAUAUAUUUUUUUAAACAAUAAGGGGCAAAUUCUAAAAGAGAUGCGAUAAGGUAGUCUUUGGAGAUGAAGCAAAAAUGGAUGAGAAUUGAGAUAUAUUUAAUUAACUUUAUCUUCCAUACACCCAAUGAUAAUAGAAACGGACGCCGAAUAUAUCCUUAAUUAAUUUAUGAUUAAUUAGUAAUUUUGUGAAUAUUUAUGAUUAGUAUCUAAAAGAAUUUUAGAAAUGCUAAUUAAUUUCUAAAAGAUUGACGAUAUCAAUUUAGUUAUCAAGUAAUAAUUUUUAAUUAUUACAAGAUAUCAUGCAAGAGCUACAAUAGUCUUUAUUUAGAAAACGAAAUAAGACAAAGAUUUAAUAUAUCAUCAUGUGCAGGAGUUUGUCCUCCACUACCGUUGUACAGUUUUAUGUUUUAACCCUAAAUAAACUAAUUAAGUUAAUAGUUGAUCCGUUUAUUUUUAAAUUUUUUUCUUCUUCUUAAAAAAAGAAUCAAAAUAAAAUAAAAUUUUAAAAAAUCUAGUUUUAUGAAUUAUAGUAAUUCUGCUUCUUUUUUAUUUUAUUUACAAAUUCCACAAAUAUCUUUAACAAUAGAUAUUCAUAGUUGAACCGGAUAAUAGUAAUAUAUAUAUAUAUAUAUAUAUAUAUAUAUAUAUAUAUAUAUAUAUAUAUAUAUAUAUAUAUAUAUAUGAUAACAAAACUAUUUAAGUCUAUUUAAUGCAAUUGGAUAUGUCUGAGACAUAAACGUAAUAUUACCAACUAAUUAAGUUGAAAUAUAUGUUGGUUGUGGGAUAUUUAUUUUGUUGGUGGAGCUUGAUGGAGCUGCUUAUGUAAUAUUUUGGAGUUGUAUCUCACAAAAUAGCAUAUAUAACUGGAAUACUAACUAACUGUAUGUACACUUUCUGUUUUUGAGCUGUAGGGUAUUUCUUAUACCUCUACCAGCGUUUAAUACAUGUCCAUUUGGUUUAUUAAAAAAAUUAAGCUAAAACAAUCACAUGAAAUAGCCCGAUCACAUUAUUUUAGACGGGAUAAGAUAUAAAUAUAGUCAUAAUUAUAGUUGACUAGAUAAUAAACUUAAGAAACAUUCAAGCACAUAACUACAUGUACUCUUUGAGAAAUGAAAUCCAAUGGAUUUUUUAACACUUAAUCAACCACAUGUUUGGGUGGACACUAAGUAUACAUAUUCAUUUGGACGUUUAUUUUUUCAACUUAUCAUAAAAAUAAGAGCCAUGCACAUGCACUACAUAAAAUUUAAGUAAUAUAUAAAACAUUUUUCAAAAAAAAAUUAUCAAACGUAAAAAGCUCAAAAAAUUAUGAAUUUUUUUUAACCUUACCUUAAUUAUUAAGUAACUUUUAACUUCACCAAAGACUGACUAAAUUUUUUAAGGUGGCAUGGGAAUGAGAAAGUAUGGUCACGGGAGAGUAUCACUGGGACAUGUAGCCAAAAAGAAAAAGGGGUCUCAAGGUAACCUACUACCGUGGCUAGUAGUAGUAUGUGUACAAAUCGAACACUACGUACCUUUCAAUUGUCAAAAUCCUCACAUUAAUUAACUUAGCAACUGUAGAUUUCUUUCAACAUUUGAGUGUAUAGGACAAUUAGAUAUGACCACCAAUUGAUUUAUGGCCGCUAAUCAGUGGCUAGCAGUUGCACUGUCAAUUAAUAAAAACAGCUUUAAACGAUUGAUCUUGAGCAAAGGACACAUUAUGUACAUCGAAAUCAUCUCUCGUGGGACAAUAAUACAAACAUACAUAUAUAGAAGACAAACCAGCGAGAUUUUGAUUGAUGCAAAUUAAUACUUGUGAUUGAUUAUACCUAAUUUGAAGGAUUAUUCAGUGAAUGAUUCAUUGAAUUUUCCACCUAGAGCUACAAUACAUAUAUACUUAUUAAAUUGUUGUAACCUAUACUUUGGUACGUGAAUGUACUACUUCAAGAUAGAUUUGGACCUGUUCACUAUCAAACAUGCAGAUAUGUUAUGAACAAGAAUUGACCAAAGGGUGUCAAAUUUUCAGUUGAAAAUAGUCAAUCACGACAGAAGCGAGCGGUGGUGAUAGACCACUUGAAAAAUAUUGAUACAAUAUAAUAAAUUAUGACCUAGAAUGUUCACAUACAUCUCAGUGGUGUUAUUACCGCUUUAUAUAUGUGUUGUUGAAUUUGUUAUAUACUGUUAUUCGCAAAAUCGUUGAGCUGACAAUCUUUUAAAGAAUGAACUGUAUUUUAGGGUUAAAUCUUCGAGUAAUUAUCUGAUCUCAACUGGGGAAAACCUAAGUCCAUCAAUCUCACACUUUCUAAUUAAAAAGAAAAAGAAAAAAGAGGACAAUGCAUGCGCGCGUAGUCAUAGAUUAUAUAUAUAUAUAUAUCGUAAAUAAGUAAAAGUCAAAGAAUGAUGGUAACUGCUACGAAAGCCUGUGAAAACAUUGGUCGUCUAAGAAAGAACUGAUGACAGUAUAUAUCUUGUCGGUGAGGGCUAUACUGAUCCGUUCUGCUUAGGUCAAUUCCCAUGUACUGCUUAUUAAUUUGGCAGUAUACUUUAUACGAUUAAUUCUUAAAUAGCUAAUGUGAGAAUUUGUCUAAGAAAGAUCUGCUUGUAAUAUCUACUUUUUCGGAUAAGAUUUGUUUAACACAAGCUUAAGUAUUAAAUAUAAGGGUAUAUUUAUCGAGAGUUUUUAUGGUACUUAUAAAAAUUCAAGGGUUUUGAUAUUGAACCAACAGUUGAAUGAUGCAAAAUGCAACUUAAGCUAAUUCUUAAAACACACUGAAUCUGAUUUUUUUUUAUAAAAAAAUAAUUGAACUUACGAAAAUUAACAUCAAGCCUAAAUGAGUUAGUGAAUCUCGGGAUCAAUGGGUAGUCUUAAUUAUAUUUUAGACAAACAGCUCACAAUAAUCAUGUGUGAUCAAUUAAACCAUGUAAGUGUUUGUUGACUGAGGUGUUAAAGCAUGUUAUAAAGCAAUUGUAGUGUCCUAGUUUCUUGUAUACACAUUUUUUUCCAUUAAAAAAAUAAUACUGGGAUUUAAAGAUUUUAUUUAUUUAUCGAUCAUUAUAAUAUUUACGAGAUUAAUUUUUGAAUUGAAAGUGGAGAUCAGAUGAAGUUUAUGAUUGGAACUUCCGAUAAUGAAGAUAAAACUUGUCAAGAUUAUUCUCUAUUUCAAAUUUAUAAUCAACAACAGUUGAGUUUUUAAGAGGAAUUUAUUUCUCUUGAAUAGUUGAAGCAUUGAAAAUAAGCUUCCUGACCGGGCAUUCUUAUUCUCCAUGUUCUUGAAUAAAUUAAGAAUGAUGAGAUAAAUAUGAUUAAUAAGAAAUUGUUUGGAUGGAAUAUCUUCCUCAGUUUUUUUUUAAUAAACUUCUUCAUAGUUAUUUAGUAUAUACACGUAAUUGCAGCAGCCAUCACCAAUACCACCAACAAUUAAGCCUGAACUAUUCCCUUUUAAUUAUUGAUGUAUGAAUCUUAACCAACAUGGCACAUAUAUUGUUGUUGUUUGUUGGUUUACAUGGCACAUAUAUUAUAAAACACUAGAUAACAUACUGUCUAGGUCCUCGUUACAUGUAAUUGGUUCGUCAUUUCUUAUACUUUUUCUCCGUUUAGGUAUAUUGAUCUAACGCGUCUAUAUAUGUUUUUAUCCUCUUAUUUGAAAUCAUUUGUUUAAGGUCAAUGUGUAAGAAAAUGUGGGCAUGUGGGUCUAAUUCCAUUAUAUGUUAGAAAGAGAAUAUAAAAGGAUCAACUCAUUGAUUCGCUUCACACAUAUUAUACCAAUUACCAAGUAGUAGUUUUAGCUCAGAGAGUUCAUAGUACUGUUCUAGGAUUCUUUUCUACAAAAUUGGCGAUUCCUGUUUUUCAUGUCAUUUUCCAUCCCCACCAUUCCAAUUAGUCUCCCUUUUUCUCUCACCAAAAAGAAACAAACAAAGGCCAACAGAGGAGAAAGAGAAAAAGUUAAGGGUAAAAAAGGAGGAAAAAAAGAACUCCUCAAAGGCAAAAGAAAAGAAAGCUUGAUUUCAUUCAUUAAUCAAUAAGUGCAGGCUUUUCUCUCAUAAAGUCUGGAUAAUAGGCCAGAGAAUUUCACAAAUCCAGGGACUCUCUCUAAAAGAACAUGAGUUUUAGGGAGUGCAAUAAUGUAGAAAACAAGAAUCUAUGUCUUCAAACCCCAACUUUUAUUGAGUGGCUCAAACCAUCAUCAUCUUCCUCUCAAACUAGUUCAAUUUCAUCAUCACCUCCUUCUUAUUCCUUGAUUCAGCAUGAACAACUUGUACAAGAUCAAACGAUCCAGUUUUUGCCCUUUAAGGAAGAUCAACAUAUUGGAGUGCAAAAGGAAGGUUUAGAAGUAAAAGAAGAGAAGAAGGUGGAACAGGUGACGGUGGCUUUGCACAUUGGAUUGCCUAACACGAGAGGCCAUGAACCUGAUGAUGAUCAUGAUGCUGAUGAAAAAAAGCUUUUCCAUGUUAAGGAAGAAGAAGAACCCUUGAAGAAAAGCUUCCAGGGCAAUUGCUCUUUCAACCAGGAGAGAAGAUUUUGGAUUCCAACUCCUGCACAGAUCCUUGUUGGACCGAUGCAGUUUGCUUGCUCCAUAUGCAGCAAGAGCUUCAAUAGAUAUAACAAUAUGCAGGUUAGCAAUUGGUAAUUCUCAACUUCUAGUGCAAAAAACAAACCAAAAGAUUUUCUAUUAAUUAACUGUUUGCUCAUAAAUUAAUUAGUUAACUUAUUUUCACCUACCAACUAUGCCAGUGGGAACUGAGAAUUAAGCAUCUCAUUAUUGUUUGAAAAGACAAUUGUGCAUGUUUUUCAAAUAUAAGCAUAACCUAUCUGCAGAUAGCUUACACUUCAAUUUCAUCGUUAAAUAAGUACUAUUAACAAAAUAGAAUCUAACACCAGUUCAACAGUAAGUCUGGAAAUUAAUGGAAUAAUCUUAGUUUUUUUUAUUAUUUGUAAGUAUAGCUCCUUUGAACGUUUUACAGUUUCAGAUUUACAAUAUAAUAAUAACAAAAAUUAAAAGUUGUGUAGAUAUCAGUUUAAUUUUCUUCACAAUCACUAUUCUGAGGAAGGUUUUCAAAACAAAUUAAUUUCAUUGUUAUCAAUUAGUAGUUAUAUCACAUAAUUCACGCAACUAUAUUCUAUGAUAUCUAGUUCAGAAUUGGUAUGUAUAAAUGAGUACAUAAGUGUACGUGUUUCUUUCAUAUAUUGUCACUUCAUUUCAAUUCUUUUUUUUACGUAAUUCCAAAUCAUGAAAUCUGAACUCUUGUUAUGAAUUUGAUAGUAUAAUCCUCUAUAAUCUAUAUAUAUAUUUUGUAACUGAGAUGACUAAUAUAUAUAUAUAUAUAUAUAUAUAUAUAUAUAUAUAUAUAUAUAUAUAUAUAUAUAUCUGAGUCCAAAUUAAAUUAAGGGAAUUUGCACUGAUUCCUAGUGCGCAUCGAUCGAUCUACUGAGAAUUUGAAUUCCCUCUUUAUCCAAGCCAACCUGAACUAGCUGUUUACAUGAUGAUGUUGAAGAAGAUAAUCAUCAAGAAGAAAACAAUCAUUUAAAUGAACUUUAAAGGGUAUAUAAACAUGACUCUUAAUGACUGUCUUUUUCUUUUUCUUUUUCUUUUUCUUUUUUCACUUUUAAGAAAUUUGAGCAAUGGCCUGCAGCCCCGCUAUCACCACCCCCUUCAACUUUUAGCAAAAAAGGCUCCUUUUAUACCAUAAUAGGCUUUCAAAGGGAAAUUGCACUUCCAUAUCUUCAUGCUUUUAUUUUCUUUUUUCUUUUUUUCUUUCCAUGUGUGUUUGUCCUUUUGGGUUGAAAACUCAUCAGAAUACAAUUACCAUAGGAACUAAUCGUCGGUGUUUGAGGCAUGCAUGCAGUAUAGCACAAGCUUUACCUUAGCAAAUUCUUCUGUAUAUAAAUCACGCCUUUGUUAAAAAGAAAACAAAAGAAAAAAAAUCAAUAUCAUCAUUUACGAGAGAGAAGGCACACAAAUCUCCCACUCGAUCUUAAGAAGCAUUAUAUAUAGUUAUCAAUUAGAUUACUAAAAAUCACUUUAUCUCGUUUCCUUUUUAUUCCUUUAAUUAUAAAAAUGAGUUAGAUUAACAAUUAAUUAAAGACAGUGGCCAGUGCUGGUCUGAAUAAAGGCCAACAUUGGUUGGUUAUAAGUGGAUGUAAAUCAUUUGCUCUCCGUUUUUUGUCUUUUCAAAUUAAAAAGCAACAUAUGUGAUUAGAAAGUAUUAAUAUUUUCUUUUUUGAUUUUUAGUUUUUUUAUUUAAGUAAAUGUUUAGUUUUUAAUCAAAAAGGCAGGAAAGAAUACAAGCAGGCUUGAUUAAGGAUUAAUUUGAAGCAAGUUUGGGAUCAUUUACAAAUGAUCGCGUUAAAACAAAUUUGUGUAUAUGGGCCGGUUAGAGUAGUCUUGUACUCUUUGAAUGAAAUUUGUUUGGAUUUUUUUAUAUUAGCAAAAUAAAUUUUUAUUAAUGAUGUAAAAACUUAAAAUGCUUACAAGAUAUGCCAAUUUCAGUCUCCAGUACACUUGAUAUAUAUUACAAUGAAGAAGUCUAAGAAAAAAGAAACGUACUCCAAUCUUUGUGAAAUAUUUAUAUAUAUUCACUUUCUCUUUUUUCAUUAAUCAUAUUCACUUUCUCUUUCAUUAUUCUACUUUAAUCCCAUUUUUUAUAUUUUCUAUCACAUCAUUUAUUGUUUUUUUUUUCGGAUGUAUCUAUUAUUUUUUCUUUUAUUUCUUUUCACUCAUACACCUCUAAUAUUAAAAAAAUAUUUUCUUAAGUUACCAUAGGUAUAAAAUAUUUAUUAAUUUUAUAAAUAACUAAAUUUUAUUAGAAAAAAUUAUGAAAUUACCAUAAAAUUCAGGUUUAUCAUAGUCUCAACUAGUUUCCAUAACAUGUAAUUGAGCAUUAUUCUAUCUUGUAAGUUGAAAAAUCUAAUAGCAUGCCAUAAAGAUAUUAUAACAAUUUGCAGAUGCAUAUGUGGGGGCACGGAUCCGAAUUUAGGAAAGGACCAGAGUCACUUAAAGGAACACAACCAGCUGCAAUGCUAAGGCUACCAUGUUACUGUUGUGCCCAGGGUUGCAAGAACAACAUCAAUCACCCAAGAGCAAAGCCCUUGAAGGAUUUCAGAACCCUCCAAACCCACUACAAAAGAAAGCACGGUGCAAAACCAUUUAUGUGCCGAAAGUGUUCGAAAUCCUUUGCAGUUAAAGGGGAUUGGAGGACUCACGAGAAGAACUGUGGAAAGUUGUGGUACUGCACUUGUGGUUCAGAUUUUAAGCACAAAAGGUCCCUUAAAGAUCAUAUUAGAUCCUUUGGAAAAGGUCACUCUCCACAUCCUUCUCUUGAAGGCUUCGUCGAGGAUGAGAAGGAAUGUGUUACAGGUUCUGAUGAUGAAGAUGAUGUUGCUCAUGCAUGAUCAUCAUCAUAUGUAACAUAUAUAUAGCUUUCUUAAAGACUAGUAGUAAAAGUGUAGCAGAUUUCAGUGCAUGCAUGCGCUUGUGCUCAGUAACAAAAAAUUCUCGACAAUUACUGUGGGAUGAAAAUAGGGAGCGGUUUGCUACCGAGCACUUGCAGGAAGAAUUUGCUUUGUGGUUUAUUAAUAUAUUAAUAUAACACAUUAUGGUUACCUAGAGUGAUGAAGCAUCUGAAUUUUUUUCUCGUAGCAGCAGAACAGAUGUCGCUAUAUAUCAUGUUGAAGCUUUUGCAUACCUUUUCAGUGGAGAAAAUUUAAUCCGCUUCAUUACCAAAAGGUUAUCCUAUAUCAAGGACACUGGUAAUCACAAAUGACAAUGUAGAUGAAAUAAAAACUAAAAAUGUUUAAAAGUAAAUUAAUUACCAUACAAAAAAUUAUUAAAUAUUUAUUUUAAAAUAAUUAAAAAUAUUAAAUUAUGUAUCAAAUUAAUGCAAAGGAUUGAAAAAAGGAAGUUUAAUAGCUAUGUACUCGCAAUAGUAAAAUUCAACGUACCUAGGAAACACUAAUAGAAAAUAUUAAAGUUGAAUAAUAACAAAAAUUAAAUUAAAUGAUAUAUAUAUAGUGACCAAUUUAUAUUAAUUGAUAGUAUAAUAUUAUUAUAAUAAAUAAUUCUUCAAUGUACAGAAAUCCAAUUCAUAUUAUUACAUCAAAUAUUAGUAUUGGAUAGAGGUUAUAAAUCUUAGCACUAACAUUUUUCUAUUAGUAAAUGAUUUUUUGGUUAUAUUAUUAAUAUAAAAAAAAUCACUGUUUAUUAUUCAACCAAUAUUUUUAGACAAUAGUUAAAAAAAACUGUUACAAAUACGUUGGAAACAUAUUAAGGAGUUCAAGUUUUAAAUUUGAAUUGUUAGUAAUUUUUAGAUUUGGAUCUACAAAUCUGUUAUUUUAAUUUAGAAUUAUUGAUAAACUUGUUAGUUUUUAAAUUUUAUAGAUCUAUUAGUUUUUAAGAUUAUUGUAGUUUUUGAAUUUUACAGAUUUUUUAGUUUUUAAGAUUAUUAUUACUUUUUAAUUUUUGUAAUGGAUAGAUUAGCAUAUAAUCUUAGAUAUGCUAGUUUUCAGCUUUUUGAAUCUUGUAAAUCAGUCUAUAUGUACAUAGCAAAUCAAUGAAUAGACAAUGAAGUUCACACAUCAAUUCUUCUCUCCUUUAUUCUUACAUGGUAUGAGAGAAUCUUAGGGUGUGUUUGGUUUGCAUUUUUAUUUUUUAUUUUUAUUUUCUAUUUUUAUCUAUUGAAAACUAUUUUCAUUUUCAAAAAAUUAGAAUUCUGAAAACAUAUUUGAUUUGACUUCUUGUUGUCUACUUUCAGAGAAACAUGUGAAGGAAAUGUAUUUUUAGAUUUGCUUAAAAUUAUAUUCCUUGACACCGCGUUUUCAUUUUACCCAAAAUGAGGUUCCUGUUUUCAACUGAAAACGAGAUUUUAUUAUUUUCAUUUUUUGGUUCAUUUGGAAAAAUAUUUUUACUGAAAAUAUUUUCAAAAAUCUAACAAAACACAUUUUCAUCACCAUUUUCUAUUUCAAUAAAAAAAUGAAAACAGGAAACAACUAAAUCAAACACCCCCUUAAGUUUUCCACCAUGGCAUCCACACCCCUUUCUCCCAGUUCAAUCACAACCAUGGAUAAAAAUUCCUAUAAUUCAUCACUCAAAUAGUCCUUCAACUAUUCUUGUUACACCCUUGUUGACAGGGGACAACUAUAGUUCAUGGAAUCGUGCUAUCAUAAUGACACUUUGUGCAAAAAACAAACUUAGGUUUGUUGAUGGGUCUCUCCCAACUCCAAAGCAAAAAAAGAAGAAUUUCUCAAUUGGCACACAGUAAUAACUUGGUUGCAAAUUGGAUUCUUAAUUUUGUCUUUCCUAAGAUUUGUCCAAGUAUUUUGUAUGUUGAAUUGCACAACACAAAUCUGAACAAAUUUAAAGGAUUGCUUUUCUCAAUCAAAUGCUCUAAAAAUCCAUCAAUUGAAACAAUCCAAUCAAUGAUGAUGAACCUUUUAACAAUAUUAAUCCUAUCAAUAAUCAGAUUUCACCUGAUUUGAAUGAUAAUUUGAGUGGCACAAGUGUGAUCAUUCCCACAUGCAAUCCGCAACAUGACACUUAAGAAAUGUUUCCAUCUACUACUUGAUGUGCCUCCAAAUCAUAAUUCACCUCUAGAGAUGACUUCUACAUCUACUCGUCUUUAGGGAGUUCAUCGUUAAUCAAGUCAUCUCAAAGAUUUCAUUUGUAACCAUGUUUAAUCCUCAACAAAUUUUCCAUGGGCAAACCACUUUUGCCUAUCAAAUCUAAGGGGUGUAUUAGAUUAGGAUUUUAAAAGAUUAUUUUAAUAUAAAAAAGUCUUAUAAAUUUUAAAAAUUAUAUAAAAAUAUUAUGACUUUUCAGAUUUCUUUAUAAGACUUUUAUUUAUAGAUUUAUAAGAUUUAAAAAGAUUUUAUGAAUUUUUAAAAACACAUUCAAAAUACAAGAGUUAGUAAAAAAAUUGACAUUUUUUAUUUCAAAAUAAUAGAAAAAAUAUAUAUGUCACACACAUCUUGAAGAAUAUUAAAGAUACAAGAAGUUAUGUGUAAUGAGAAAAAAAAAAGUUAGGUAACCAAUAGAAAAAAAAGAAAAAAGUCUAGUAAAAUCUCAAAGGUUUAAGUGAGAUUACUUAAUAGAUGUUUUAUAUUAAAAAGUUAAUAUAAUGAAAUUCAUCAAAAUUUGUAUAUUUUUUAAUACUAAAAGAUUUUUUAUAAGUUAUAAAAAAUCAUAAUUGAAUAUCACUCGAUUUUAUUACCUUUCUUUAAAAAUCUUGAAAGUCUUAAUUGAAUAUCACAAAAUUUAUUUAUAUUAUUUAAAAAUUCUGAUUAAAUAUUACAAGAUUUUUUUAUAAAAAAAGUUUUUAAAAAUCAUUUGAAAUUAUAAUUCAAUAUACCCCUUAGUGUCUUUCAUCCUUUUCUCAAGUCAUGAAAUCAAUUAAAUGGCGUGAUGUCAUGGCUAAAGAAAUCCAGGCCUUUGAACCAAACUUGGUCUUUGUGUUUCCUCUGUGAAGGAAAAUCUUCAAUUAGUUGUAAAUUAAUCUACAAGAUCAAAUAUUGAGCCAACAAUUUUAUUAAGAGAUAUAAGUCUCCUUUGGUCGCAAAAGGCUAUACUCAAGUUUCAAGUUGAAGAUAUUUACAAUUAGCAUACUGACGCGAGCCAAUAGAGGACUGAGUACGCGCGGUGUUUACAGAAGUUCAAAAGGCUUUAUAAUUAUUCAUGUUAUUGUAUUUUGGCACUCUUAAUAAAAUGUUUGAGUAAAUUGUAUUUCACAAUUUACAUUAACCAAGUCAACAGUAUUCACGAAACGGAUCGGAAAAGAUGAUACAGAGAAUCAUUAAUUAUAAUUAUUGUCAAGCAAAAGGUAGUACCGUCCUCGUCUGUAAAGGAUUUUCACAAUCCUUGCAUCUUUUACUAAUAUGAUUAUUAAUUGACCCCUCGUGCAAGGAACAAUAAAAACUGCAUCUAUCAUUCCUAUAACCUAUAAACAAUUCUAGAGGGGGGAAAAGAAAGAAAAACAAAAGAUAGAAAAAAAAAAAAAAAAGCUUCUAAAUUUAAGAGUGGGUAACAUAGAGUUAUUAGGUUUUGUGCAGGAUGUUGGUUUUUUGUAUUGGAAAAGGUGUAUCAUGGUUAUAGGUUAUUUUUAUUCACAUGGACUAAAAAUAAUUAAUAACCGUGGAAACCUUGUCUUGAGUGACUUUUUUAGUUGCUCCUGCUUUUGUAAUUGCAAGGUACUUCUUGUACCCGUUGUUAAUAAAAAUCUUAUUGGCUGAUAAAAAAACUAGAGAAUUAUUAGGAUGAGAAUUUUUUAUGUCAAAAAGAUGAGUAAUUGAUGAAGAGAUGGUUCAGCCGCAAACUUGCUCCCAUAAAUUCUGGUCUUUGGGAGAGUCUAUUUUGGACUCACCAAACUCAUACGCCAAUUUGAAGUAGCUACGAGCUCGACAUCAAUUUCCCAAUAUAAAAUUAGAACUACUAAUUUAUAAGCUUGAUUCUUUUGGUCGAAUACUUAGAUGAUCUGCUAAGAAAAGCAUCGAAAAUGGUGCUUAAUUACGCAAGUGUGUUUGAAAAAGAGAUAUGAUCUUGUGUUAUAAGAGAUCGACUCUUUUUUCUUACACAAGACAUGGUGAUCCUUAAUACACGUGAGGAAGAGAGAGAAAGGGAGAGUACAAACAAUAAAAGGGUUUGAGAUUUGGAUUCUUUUGAGGUAGCUAGGAUUGACCAAAGCAAAAAAGUAGUAGAGAAAAUGGGAGGUUGUAUAUGGUUUUAGAAGAUAAGGGACCUCCACCAUUCUUUGUCUGGUAAAACGUUAGAGCUAGCUAGGUAGAAAGAUCGCAACAACCAUCUUUUAACUGCAACAAUUUAGCUAAACUAGCAGUUCGCUUUCAUACUCAAAAGUGCCAGUCCCUCUGUGUCUCACUCAAAAGCUAAUGUGAGCUAAUUUUAGAAUUGAAUUAAGUUUAAAUUUAAAUUAUGAAAUGACAUUAAAGUAAAUUCUAGUGUUGUUUUUAGACUAAUUGAGUCAUUUAGACUUUUUUGACUGUAAUUACAUCAUCCAUAAAUGUCGCGUCAUGCAAAUUUCACAUGAUGUUCAGUCCUUGACAUAAAAAUUAAGAAUGUCUAUCUAUAAUAGAUUUUGGUACUUGUGGUACCACUUAUAUAUAUAUAUAUAUAUAUAUAUAUAUAUAUAUAUAUAUAUAUAUAUAUAAAACUGAGAAAAAAUUUAAUUUUAAUUUUUAAUAUAUCAUGUUUAUUUUUUUAAUUGAUUUAAAUAGUUACUUUUUAGAUUAAUUACUUAAAAAAUCGAUCUAAAAGUUAAUUUUUAAGAUGAGCUAACAAUUGACUUAAAAAGUUUGACUUUCUAUAUCACUUAUAUAAACAUCGAUAAUACAAUCGAUGUAAAAAAAAUUUAUGAAAAAUUAAAAUUUUAAUCUCAAUCAUCAAUUUAUAUAUAUAUAUAUAUAUAUAUAUAUAUAUAUAUAUAUAUAUAUAUAUAUAUAUAUAUAUAUAUAUAUAUAUAUAUAUAAAUGUGUAUAUCUUAUUAGAUGUAUCAAGUCAUACUUGGAUCACUUGCACAGUUUAGUCCCACAAACUUCACACAUUGUCUAAUCCUUGGUGUUAGCAUGAGUCAAUUUUUAAAUUUGUAUUAGAUUUAAAUUCAAAUUCUGAAAUGAUAUAGAUGUCGACAGUUGUUGUUAGACUCAUCGAUCAGGUCAUAAUUGAAUCUCUUGUAUAUCUUCAAUCCUAUAAAUUUCACAUUGUCCAAUCCUAAUCAAAUUCUAUCCUAAUGAUUUUUGUGACUUAUCAAGUUGUAAUUGAAUCUCUAUAAAUGUUCAAUCCUAUAAAUUUCACAUUGUUCAUUUCUUAGCCUAAGAAGAUUGUCUAUAUCUUAUAAUAAUAACUUUUGAAAUUGUGUUAGACUCAAAUCUAAAAUGAUAUCAAGAUAUAUUGUGUAGUAAUUGUUGCUUGUUAUUUAGUGUAGUAUUUAAUAUAAUUAACAUAACAUUUAAACCAAUUAUAUUGAAACAAUUGUUGCAUCAAAAAAUUCGUACCACAAUCCUUCGUUCUAUUUAGCACUUAUGUAUUAAAAAUAUUUCAAUAAAAUAGAAACAAUGCUAUAUCAAUGUAAAAGUGAGUUUAUAAAUGUUAGCCAGUAGAAGCAACUAACACUGGUCCCUUAUCUGCGUAUAUAAUGAAAAGUACUCCUACCCCAAAUGAAAGGCCUGUGCGAACUGCGAUGAUAGCAGAGAGCACGAGUAGAUAAAGAAAUAGAACAUUGAAGAUGGAAAUAUUUCUUAAGGCAACGCGAGAAAGAAAAAAAGGAGGCUGAAAAUGAACCAGCUGAUGGAGAAUAUAUAAAUAAACCAGUUAUGAGCUGGUAGACAUGCAGAUUAACCAAAAAUCCACGAAGCAUAUAGUGGGUUUAAAUAUCGAUGGCGCUGGUUUGAAUCAAAGUUCAAUUGUAAAUGUAAUUGUAAAUCUCGAAGCUCAGAGGAACCAUAUACAUUAUUUUGUAUAAAUUGUUUCUUACAUGAGCUCAAUGUUAAAUUUAUAAGUAUUUUUUUAUUCAUAAGUAUUGAAUAUAAGAUCAGUAUCAAAAAUUUAUAAUACUUUAUAUAUUUUGUUUAACCAAAUGAGUAGAUUCUUUAAUUGGAAUUUAUAUGCACUACAAGAAAAGAGUUGAUUAGCGACGGAUUUAGAUAUGUGGAAAUGUCAAUACUUGGAAGGCUGUUUCUGAUGGAUUUUCAAGAAAUUUUAAACUAUUUUUUUGUGAUGGAAAUUUACCGACUAAUAUACAUCCAUCAGAAAAAUUAGAAUUACUGUAUUUUCUGUCGCUAACAUUUUUUUGUUAGAAAAAUACAACAGACCCAUUAAAUAUUGUUAAACAAAUAAGCUAGUAAAAAAUUACCCAUUAAAUUGUUAAACAAAUAAGCUAGUAAAAAAUUACCCAUUAAAUUGUUAAACACAUACGCAGAUUUGAUGAUUAAUGUUGUUACAUAUAAUUAUAUAUAUAUAUAUAUAUAUAUAUAUAUAUAUAUAUAUAUAUAUAUAUAUUAAAAAUUUAUUAUUUUAUUCUUAUUAUUGAUUAAAAAUAUUUUUAAGAUAUAUUUAAAAAAAUUAAAUAUAUAUUAAUAUAAUAAAUAAAAACUUGGAUAUAAAUUGAUAAAUAUAUAUAAGAAAUUUUUUAAUUUCUAUUAUUAACUAUAAUUUUAAAUAAAUUCUAUAAAUUAUUGUAUAUAUAUAUAUGAAUUUAAACCUUCCUUGAUUCACAUUUUUGGUUUUUUGAAUAUAUUAAGUAGUUUUACUUAGAAUAUUAAAGUUUUUUUCGCCCAUAAGUUAAUUUUUUUUUAAAAUGAUGAUUGCAAAAAGUUGUAAAUAUAGAAGAGAAAAUAAAUUGACAAAUAUAUGUACUAAUUUAUUUUUACUUUCUCCAUCCUUUUAAUUUUAAUUUAUUGUUUCCAAAGCUAAUACCAUGCAUCUUAAUAAAGCUUACAUUAAUUUUCGUCUAAGAAAUAUUAGAAUAUUAUUCUGCUCCCACUUAAAAAAAAUUAAAAAUAUGGAUCUACGUGCCACUAAAUUCAUCAUGAAAUAUAUAUCACUCUAGUCCUAGAAUUCAUUAAAACCCAAUUGUAAAUUGAUGAUUGAUUAUGACCUAAUAAAAUUUAAAGUUAGCACUAAAAAUUAAUUAAGGCCUAAUAAGACUCAAAUAUAAUUGACCAAGGCCCACCUCAGCUAAAUAUAACACUUAUGAUUGUUCAAUGCUUAAUAAGGCUCAAAUGUAAUAUUAAUAAUUGAUCAAAACUCAAUAAAACCUAGGUGUAAGUAUUAAUGAUUGAUCAAGGUCUAAUAAGACGUAGAUGCAGUACAAAUAAUUGAUGAAGACGCAAUAAGAUUCAAGUGUAACAUUAAUGAUUUAUUAUAACUCAAUUAGAUUCUAUUGUAAUACUCAUGAUUGAACAAUGGAUUAAGAAUAACACUAAUGAUUGAUCAAAGUCUAAUAAAACAUAAGAAAAUAACAUUGAUGAUUGAUCAAGAUCUAAUAAAAUCUAGUGUAAUAUUGAUGAUUGAACAAGGUUGAGUAAAACCUAGAUGUAUUGCCAAAAAACAUUCUUUGUAGGCCACUAUUUCAUUAUGAGUCUAUUAGUUAUGUUAAGGAGCCUCGCAAGUUAGCUUACCUUGCAACAAUGUAUUGUCAAAAUAAAAAUUGGUUGUAUUUCCUUAUAGCUAUGAGAAAAGGCUCUUUGGGUUCAUAAACUGUAUAAAUUUGUAGUGGUUAUGUGGAGCCUUAAUUUUUGGCAAGGUGAACUUCGACCAUGAACUGAAUUAACAUGUUUUAAUUCCAAUCUUUGUUUGAUGUAGAUGGUAUUUAUGUCAGUUGAUCUUGAAGAUUACUUGCCUUCAAAGAAUAUCUUGUCAAAAAUCAGUUUAGGAACUAUAAUCUCAUGUGAUGACUUUAUUCUGCGGUCUUUAUUUAUUUGUUCAUUUAAUUUUAUGACUACUUUUAAAGAUAUUUUUAGUUUCCAACCAGUGUUUUGACCUGAUUUCUAUUGUCCCUAUUUGAUCUGAGUAAAUUGUUUCAUAUUCGUUGAACAAAAAGCAAGAAAGCUGCAACUGAGUACAAAUUUAUGACACCUCAUCAAGUAUCUGAGGCAACAACAGACCAGAUAGGGAUGUUGACACACACAAUAGAUCAGCCGGCACUGCGGUAUGAAGAAACAAGCAAAACACUGCUUCUGAAAAGAUCAACUACAGAUAAACUUCAUAAAAAUCAUGCAGACAAUAACAACACAAGCAUGGGAAUUGUAGGGGCAAGUGACAUUAAGGUAAUUGCGACAUAAUCUUCAGUUUUUUUUUCCUUUAGAGAUGGAGAUUUUGAAAGGAUGUACGAUGAAUCUUUGAUCGAUUUCAAUACCAUUAAGGAAAGGCAUUAAACAUUUUGGAAGUCAUUGGUUUGCCCCCUAUUUGUUGUCUAAUGAAUUUUUUGUAUUUUAUUAUUUAAACUCUGUUAAGGUUACAUGUUUAUAUAAUGUUUUCAGGUUUUCUACAAGAUAUGUUUCAUCGUCCUCAACGUCCUUUGAAGAAUUCCACAUGCAUAUUGUGAGUUUAAGUCAAAAGGUAGCAAAUACAAGACAAUGACAUUUCUUUCCAAAAAAGACAAUGAUAACAAGUAAUAUUCUUUGUCAUAUCUAUUAAUUACCUUUGAGUUAGAUUAUAAUUAGUAUCAAUAAGUAUUAUUAAAAGAUAUUAUUUAAAAGGUUAAUAUAUACUCAUUGAUAACAUAUAUUUUUUCAAUAAAAAAAAUUGAAAACAUAUAUUAUUAUAUUUAUCAAUUAGUAUAUAUACUAUAUUGUUUUUAAUAUAUUAUUAAUUAUUAUAUAUUUAUUAAAGUGUAUUUAUUAAAAGUUUUGAGGGGAGGGGGCUAAAGCCCUGCUAGCCCCCUAAAAUCCGUCCCUUCCAACAGCAAAAGCAAAGGUGAAUUGCAAGAUUUUUCUUGAAUGGCAAGAAUUACAAGUUAAUUAGUAAUUUGUGUUUGACAAAAUGUCAUAAAUGUGAAUUGAAAAUAGUAAUUACUCGGUUUUUGGUUCUUUUAGCAUCUUAAUUGAAUGAUUUUGUGUUGUAAUUGAGUGAAGUCAUCGAAUCUUAUAAUCUUGUUAUCAGGUUUUUGAAAGUUGAGAAAUGAGAAGUGAUAUGAUUUGCAGGAAUUGCGUGUAAAUUAAGAGUCUGCAUUUGAAACAAUAUUAAUUGGUGAUUCCAUUCUACUUUUUGUGCUUAUUAACAUUUUUUAUUGAAUAUGAUAAUUUUGUUAUGUGUUUUUCUACCGAUUGGACUUUUUUUUUUCGUUUCCAACAAGAUAGAGUAAUAAGCAUUAGGAAACACAGUACGAAAUUCUGAUUGGUAGUUUUUUUUUGUCUAUACUAAUUCUCUGAACACAUGACUGAGGGAGAUAACUUAAAAAACAAUAAUUCUAUCGAUUUAGUGUAAAAAAAAAAACUAUCAAUCAUAAUUUUGUAUGUCUUUCCUAAUGCUUUAUCUUGUUGGAAUCGGAAAGAAAAAAAGUUUAAUCGGUAGAAAAACCUAUGACAAGAAAAUCAGUGUAAAAAAAAACUAUUAUUUCAGAAUUUUGUACGUCUUUCCUAAUACUUAUUAACAUUCUUGUCUAUUUGGUUUGGACAGCUAUUUGACUCGUUUCUAUUUAGAAGCAUAUCUGAUCUUAUUUACAAAGAAAAAAGUUAGAAUAUAAAAUACACUAUGUUACUUAUAAGUAGGACCAAAGAUAAUAUAUUAUUUUAAAUAUAUUUCUGUGUUUGUAUUUCCAUUAAACAUAAAUUAUCUGUAAGAAAAAUAUUAGCUUUGAAGGGAAGUAAGAAAGUGGAAAAAUAAGCAUACUCUUAAUAAAAAUCUAAUUAAGGUUAGCCAUGUGCUUGACUUUAUUUUAUCGAGAAUUAAACUAAUCAGAUAUCAAUUAAACUAUUUUUGAGAGGAGAGGACAUAAAAAUUCCACAGAAAUAUAUAGAUCGAGAUCGAACUAAUUAAUUAAACCAAUACUGUAGGAAUUUAUCUAGACCUCCAACGUUAAGAUGUAAAAAUAGAAAAUUGAAAUCUGUAUACUUAUUCCAUGAUUAGAUUAGAUAUAACACCGUUCAUGACUCCAACCAAUGGUAUGCAAUCAAAGAUAGGGAAAAGAUGAACAAAAGAAUAAUUAACUAGUACAAGUUCAAGCAAAACAACAAUGGUAUCUUAAGGCAUGAAAAUACCCAGUUGGACACAUGGUGAGAAUUGCUCACUGCACCCCGUAGCAAACGCUGUGUGUAUCAGUAUUACUAUUACCAGUGAAGAAUAAUUAAAUCGGUUGUAUCAUUCAUGAGUACACUCCUUAAAUGUGUUACUUUCAGACUUCAGAUUAGGCAAAAAUUUAUCAUUGUGGUUGUGGGGACAAGAGAACUAGCUCCAUGAAUGUGGCAGUUGAGAAUGUUGUGACUUGUGAGCUUCAAGCUUGAUCAUUGAUAUGACGACUAUAUAAGCUACUGUUUAUGUUAGUGAUUCAGUGCCUUUUCUUUCUAAGCAGCCAAGAGUUGCUGUUCUGAGACUGGAAAUGUCUCUAUAAACACUUCAAAAAUAUAUGCUUUUAAACAAUUACUAUAACAUUAUUGCACUUUGCUUUCCAUGAUAGACAGGACACCAAAUAGAUGAAUGCAUGGUAUUGGUUGGAAUCAUUAUGAGUGUGGGGUGGGGACCAACAUGGGGAAUUAGAAAACAGAUGAAUCUGAACAUAUUGUUUGGUAAAACUUCCUUAGGAGGAAUAGUUGCCUGAAAUUAAUUAAAGAAUUAAAUUAGUAAUACUUAUAAUAGUUGAAGGAUUUUAGAUUUAAGUACGCAUAUAGGAUGACGGACAAAAUUAAUUCAUAAUUAGUUUGAAGUUAAUUCAAAGUUAGAAAGAGCUUACUUUUUAACUAAAAGCAUCUAAUCUAAAGUUGAAAGUUUUUAACUUAUUGGCAUCCUCGCUCCAUAUAAUAAUUGUCUUACAAUUAGUCUAUAAUAGAUUGGAUUCGGUCCCGAUACAAGAACAUUUAAUAAAUACAUUUUUUAAGUUAAUUCAAUAAACUAUAAGUUUUUUAUAUUAUUAAACUAAUUAACGAAUUUUAAAAUGAUAAAAAGGAUAUGCCUAUAUUUUUAUUUUUAUUUUAUUUUAUUUAAAAGAUAAUUUUUUUUAAAAUAAUUAUAGUUUUAAGUUUUUUUAUUAAUUUUGAAAUCUUAUUAUUUUAUAUUUAAAUAUCAAAUAUUUUUAAAAUGACAAAAAAAAAUAGUGCAAUAAUUAAAAAAAAGUGUAAUAUAAAAAAAGUAACCCAAAAGAUAGUAAAAAAGGUAUAAUGGCUAGUAUGAAAAGUUAAGAAAAUAAUGUAUAAACAAAUGCUAUAAGUUUACUAAAUAUACUUUGUUAUCAAACACUUUUAUUUUAGUUAAAUAAUAUUUUUAAGUUAAUUAAAUUAAUUUUAUAAAUUAGUUGAAAAUCACCAGUCAAAUAUAGUAAUAAUAUUUUUUAGAAAAAACUAUAUAAAAAAAUUAUUAAUUUUAGUAUUUAUAUACUCUGUUCCAUGAUAAUUUAGGCAUAAAUGAAUUAGUUAUUUUGAGAGCAAUAUAAGCCCAUUUACAAAGGAUCCAAUGAUAGUGUUCACGAGUUUGGAUAAUUCAUGAAUUUAGAUCUUGACAUUGUUUUGAAUUGAAUCUAAUUUAACCCAUUCAAAUUCAAUGAUUUUUCUGUUUUGGAUAAUGAGUUUUUAUGUUAAAAAAAUUACAAACCUUGAUGACCCAACUCUUUAAUAUGAUAUUUUAUUUUAUUUUAUUUUAAUUAUUAUUUAUAUUUUUUGUUUUUAUUUAUUAUUUUUUACAAUUUUAAAAAAAAAUUGUAAACACUUUUUAAGUUUUUCUUUACCAAAUAGACCCAAUCCAAUCUGUCAUUAAUCAAAUUAGUCUAAUUUGGGUUUGACAUGAAAAAUACACAAAUUCGAUAGAAUUCAAGGACAAUACACAAUUUUACCUGUUUGAUGGUUAUUUUCCUCUAUAAGAAGAAACACAAAAUAAUGUCUCGUAUCAAACAAAUGGCGAAACAUUAUAAAAUGUUCAAGGGCUACUGUCCUUUUGAGGACUUGUAUUAUCCAAAAUUAGCAUGAUCAUAGAUUAGGCUUGGUCCAAAUGACAGCCCCUCAAGUCCUCAACCAUCCGCCCUUUACAUAUGGUCCCAAAACUAAUCAAUGAUCAACUUUCAAUUCCUUAACUCAGAAGGCAUAAAUAACUAGAAUGAGCCCACAAAUUCAUUAAUUAAGAGAUAAAUAAUUAUCUAGUAGGAUAGCUGUCACAUUUGAGUGAAUGAGAGAGAAAGUCUUUAAAAAUUACAUUUACUAAGUGAGUAUAUCACUUUAUUAUAAAAAUUAUUCUAGAUUGCAAUUGCGGCCACAUUUUCUUGUAAUGUCAAGAGACCAAAUAAAACUACAACCACAAUUUAUAAGCGUACUUUCUGCUUGUUCACAAUUUACAUUACUCUAGGACUUUAUAACAAUAUUACACAUAAUUUUUUGCUUUGACGAGGUAAACAUUAUGAUAGUUUAUAACUAAUGAAAUUACUUAACAAUGAAACAUGAAUUAUUCUUUGUAAACCAUAGGAAUCAAAGAGAUAAAUUUUAUAACACACACAUUUUGUAUUUUGUUUAUCAACUGAACUAAAAAAAAUAUUGUGAAAAAUAAGAAUUAUGCUCUUACGUGAAUGUAUUUACCAAUAAUUUUUGGUGAACCCCACCUAAUUUUGGAUUGCUUUUCACUUUCCUAACGUGAAGGCAAAGCCACCGGUCACCGAACCACGAAUUCGAUAUUGCAAUUACUCGACCUAUCAUUAUCAAUAUUGUGCAAAGAAUUAACUUAAUUGAGUUAGAGAGAAAAUAAUAAAUUAAAGAAUUAGAAAUAGCUUUCAACCCAGAAAGAAGGUGAAUGACAAUUGAAACGUUUCUAAAUUUUUUAAUUUACGAUGACAACGNNNNNNNNNNNNNNNNNNNNNNNNNNNNNNNNNNNNNNNNNNNNNNNNNNNNNNNNNNNNNNNNNNNNNNNNNNNNNNNNNNNNNNNNNNNNNNNNNNNNNNNNNNNNNNNNNNNNNNNNNNNNNNNNNNNNNNNNNNNNNNNNNNNNNNNNNNNNNNNNNNNNNNNNNNNNNNNNNNNNNNNNNNNNNNNNNNNNNNNNNNNNNNNNNNNNNNNNNNNNNNNNNNNNNNNNNNNNNNNNNNNNNNNNNNNNNNNNNNNNNNNNNNNNNNNNNNNNNNNNNNNNNNNNNNNNNNNNNNNNNNNNNNNNNNNNNNNNNNNNNNNNNNNNNNNNNNNNNNNNNNNNNNNNNNNNNNNNNNNNNNNNNNNNNNNNNNNNNNNNNNNNNNNNNNNNNNNNNNNNNNNNNNNNNNNNNNNNNNNNNNNNNNNNNNNNNNNNNNNNNNNNNNNNNNNNNNNNNNNNNNNNNNNNNNNNNNNNNNNNNNNNNNNNNNNNNNNNNNNNNNNNNNNNNNNNNNNNNNNNNNNNNNNNNNNNNNNNNNNNNNNNNNNNNNNNNNNNNNNNNNNNNNNNNNNNNNNNNNNNNNNNNNNNNNNNNNNNNNNNNNNNNNNNNNNNNNNNNNNNNNNNNNNNNNNNNNNNNNNNNNNNNNNNNNNNNNNNNNNNNNNNNNNNNNNNNNNNNNNNNNNNNNNNNNNNNNNNNNNNNNNNNNNNNNNNNNNNNNNNNNNNNNNNNNNNNNNNNNNNNNNNNNNNNNNNNNNNNNNNNNNNNNNNNNNNNNNNNNNNNNNNNNNNNNNNNNNNNNNNNNNNNNNNNNNNNNNNNNNNNNNNNNNNNNNNNNNNNNNNNNNNNNNNNNNNNNNNNNNNNNNNNNNNNNNNNNNNNNNNNNNNNNNNNNNNNNNNNNNNNNNNNNNNNNNNNNNNNNNNNNNNNNNNNNNNNNNNNNNNNNNNNNNNNNNNNNNNNNNNNNNNNNNNNCCUGGAAUCGCGGUAGCACUUGAACACAUAUUAUGCGUGGCAGGGCUGCAAAGAAGCCGCAAUGAUUAGCGCUGAUGCGCGGCACCUGACAUCUGUGUUCCUCAGACAUUUUUUUUUCUCGAUACCUGAAAACGAGAUCGGAACCGAUCCACCGGUGAAGAACACGAAUUUGAAUUUUCGAACUCUAAAAUAACGCAGAGAAAAAGAAAAGGAAGAUUAUUAUUAUUACCGUUAGGGAGAAGGAUGAUGGAAAAUCGAGGGGGAAAGGGAGAGGUUGGUGGUUAUAAGGGAAAGAAAAGAAAGGGAAGGAAUCUAGAAUUUGAAGGAAAGUUGCAAAGAAAAGAACCUCCACACGCAGACGCACACGAUACACCAGCGAAACGAAAAUUCCAGAAACGCUUUCUUCUUCUCUCUAUCUAACUGGGUUUUCUAACCAAACGGAGCGCAACGCAACGCGUCUAUUGAAACGGUCUUUUUAAGGACGUUCUUUCUCUCUCUUGGUUAGCCGUAUGGGGUCAUGAUUCUGUAUCUUCUUCAAGCCGUCUACGCUAUACUUCUUUUUCUCUUAUUAUUAAUAAUUAAUCAUCACUCUAUUAUCCUCCUUAAUUAUUUAAGAAAAGUAAAAAUCAUGCAUAUUAGUAAAAUCUUUAUUGAGAAAGUCACUCUACUAUUUUUAAUUGAGUGAUUAUAUUUUGAUAAUUAAAGAUUUUACACAUUCAAUAUUUUUUUCCUUUUUUAGCUGUAUUAUCAAUUAAAUUAUUUUUUUCCUCCUCUUAAGGGGUAAAGAACUCAAGUUAUUUAAGAAACAUUUUUUAUUUUUUAUUUUUGGAAAAAAAGGAAAUCAACCCCAAAAAGCACUAAAACCCGCAAGUUAUUCAAAAAAUAGUUUUCAAUUUAAUUUCACGGUUCAUUAGUAUUUUGAAAUGUGCAUUUUACAAAAUAAAUAAAUAUUUAUUUUAUAUAAUUAAAAUUUAUAAUAUGACAUUUUAUUUUAAAUUUUCAUUUAGUUUAAAUUUAUCACCGAAGAUUAAAAGCACAUAUUUAUUAUUUUUUUAAAAGAAGCACAUUUAUUUUAAGAAUUAAAAUAAGUAAUUGUUGGUAGAAAUUGAAAAAAGAAAACGUCGUUUUGUAUUUCUAGGAUUAAGAGUAAGUUUAUAAUAAGGUAUUAACACUAAUCAAUUAUCUGUCUUAAAAUCAUUUACUAUAUAUUAUCUUUGUUUUAAAAUUGAAAUAAUUAAGCAGCAGGCCAAUUUGGACCGUCUCGACGGUGAAACACACGGCGCCGCGCGGAUAAGGGCAGAAAGAGUCCACGGGAUACGAAGCAUAAGUAUUCUGGCCGUACAUUCGUUCAUUUCUUUAUUAUUUUCUUUUAAAAAAAAGUCACUUUUUUUAUAUGUGUAUAAAAAAUGAAAAUAUAAAAUUUAGUUUUUAAAAGAAUAAUAAAUGUGGUAAAUAUAUUUGUUCAUUAAUUUCUGUUUGUCACGUGGCACAAAUGAAUAAAUUUAUCAUUAAAAUGAUUUUCAACAUAAUCAUUUCUAAUUAUCAGUAAAGGCAUGUUUUAUCAUAUAAUAUUUUUUUUACUUUUUGUGUUUUUACUCCACUGAUAUAAAUGUGUCCGUGAAAGAUGUAAAUACAAAAUUUAGUUUCAGAGAGUAUAAAAAGUGUGAUAAAUAUAUUCGGAUCUUAACAAUAAAUUAUAACUAAUUAUUAUAAUUUAAAAAAAUUUAUAAUGAUUGCGAUAAAAUUUUGGGAGAGUUAUAUCACAUUGGUAAGUGUUUAUAUUCUAUUAUAUAAUUUCUAAGCUAUCAACAUACAAAAAAUUAUUGUAAAAUGAUAAAAAAAAAUUAUUAUUUCUAUUUAAUCAAAUAUUAUUUAUUUAAUUAUUUUUUUAUAAUUUUUUCAUAAUAAAAUAUGAAUGUCUAUUUGUAUAUGCAAUGACAUCAAAUUACAAAUUAUAAUAAAAGUUUGUUAAUUUUUAAAUUAAUUUUUUUAAAAUUAUAUACAAUUAUUUUUUAUUGACUAAUCAUUUAAGAAAUCAUAAUCUUAAAAAAAUCAUUCCCAAAGAGGUGGGCAUUUUUUACAUUACAAUUAUAAUUUUUCCUAAAAAUUAUUCAUGAAUCUAAUUUAACUAUAAUACUUUCCAAUAAAUAUUUUUUACUUGAAUUUUUUCAUCAAACAUGGGGAGUCAAAAAAAAAUAUUUACGAGUUUAUAAAAUAAAGUAUUCUUUUUUCUUUUAAACUCAAUUUAGUUUAUGAGUUUUUAUUAUUAAUUUAAAGUUAAUAAAACAAAUACAAAAAAUAAUUAUUUAUUAUAUUUUUUCUUAUUUAAUUGUUUUUCUUUCACCUUAAUUUCAUGAUCUGAAUUUUAGUUAAUAACCAAAUCAAAAUUUUAAACUUUUUUUCUUUCACCUUAAUUCCAUCAAAAUUUUAGUUAACAUUUUGUUAUUAACGUCUAGAUAUAUUUGUCACUCGUUUUAUAUUUUUGGAGAUUAAAUUUUAUAUUUUCAUCUGAUAGAUGGGAAGACAAAAAAUCAAAAAAGUAUUAUAAGACAAAUAUAUUCUUAUGCUGAUAAUUAAAGAUGAUCACGUUGAUAAUUAUUUUAAUGACAAAUUUAUCUGUCUGUAACAUAUAGAUUAUUUCAUUAAUAGUGACGGAUGAAAGUUAAUCACAAAAUAUAUUUAUCACACAUUAAAAAAAAUGAUUUGACAUUGAGGAUGCAUUGUUUAGUGUAUACAAGUCCUCUGAAAUUGACAAGUCGAAUGUUGUUUGCCUCGGAAAAUGGUUCUUAAACAUGUAUUAUUGUCAACUGGGUGAUGUGACCCCAUUAAACCCAUUUUUUAUUUUAUUACACACUCAAAUAGGUGACAAAAUACAAAGGACUGAAAGGUGUAGCUGCCAACAACACUAGAGACUAGAGAGAAAUUUAACCGAUGUAGUACAUGAGGUGAAUUUUAAGUUUUUAACCAUGUCUUUUUUAUAAAAAAAGGAUAAAAAUUUUAUAAUUUUAUUCAACCAUGUUUUUCUUUAACUAUUAGAAAGUUAUAUAUUUAGUGUGUGUUUGAUUUAUAGUAACUUUCAAAACACCUAAAUAGAGAAGCUUGGGUCAUAUUUUGAAUCAAUCCUCAGUUUUAAUAACUUUUGAGUUUCAAUGACUGGUUUUUUUAGACAACCUUCAUGCUAUGUUAUUAGAUCAAUUCCUAAAGUUGGUCAAAUCUAAUAAAGAUUUUUUCCCCCUAAAACAUAAACAAUUGCCAACCUGUUGUUGUGCACAAUGAUUUCAAUUGUUACCGUCUAAUGGGGUGGGAAAAGCACACAAUAAAUAGCAAGCUAAGAGAAAAAUAACAGCAUACAAACAGAAGAACACUCACAAGCAAGAAAUCUCACUCUCUCAACUCAAAAUAGACAAAAAAUACACAACAUAAGGUGAAGGCAGCUCAACGACAAUCUGUUUCGCAGAAUAAAAAGAAAUAAAAAUAAUUUAAAAUGAAAGUUUUGAAUUAUAAAAAUGUGAAUCCCAAGUUAUUUUGCUUUUUUUUUUCUUUUCAAAGGGGGCAUGAGGCUGAAAUUUAGGUUUUAGAAUGCAAAACAGGUUUCUCACCACAUUUGGGCCAUAGGCCAAGGCACAGAAAUGCAACAACUCUUAGAAAAAUUUAUUUUUUAUUUUCUUAGAACAUUUAAUUACAAAAACAUCCAUUUUAAAACGUUUUCUCCUUUUUCAAAACAUUUAUUUAUUAAGUAGUAAUAUAAAAAAAAUUCUAGCACAAUAUAUAAUAUAGUAAAGGAAAAUUAUAAUUAAGGUAUUACAUAAUACACAAGUAAAUACAUAAAUAAAAAGUCUUGUUACAUAACAAAAAUUGGUUUUUGCUCAAUCGACAAACAUGAGAAAAACGAAACGAAAGUGGAAGAAGAAGCAGAUUCACUAGAAGAAAAAAUGAUGUAUCAGGAAACAAAUUGGCAAGAGCUAGGGGAUUUGAUCACAUUAUGGUUGAAACAAAUUGACAUGUCUCGGUACAAUUGCUAAGAAAUGGUUGUCUUUCAAUUCAUCCAUAUUUUAGUCUAGUUCAAGAUGGUUGUCUUUAAACAAAUUGACUCACUAGAGUAAUGUAAAUUGUCUCGGUACAAUUGCUAGGGGAUUUGAUCACAUUAUGGUUGUCUUUCAACAUUUUUUGAUAGAUGAUGUUUCCAUCAUUUUUCACAUACUUAGAGAGGAGAACAAGACGCCGAUUGUUUAGCUAAGCAUGACUUGGGAUUGGAGGGGGAUUGGGGACAAAGUUUUUGAGUUCCCUCUAUAUUUUUUGUCUUUAUGUUUGUUGGUUGAUGUCUUGCAUAUAAAUUUUUACAGAGACUUAUGAAGUUUUUUUUCCCCUUCCUUUCAAAAAAAAAAAAAAAGACUAGAAGAAGGAAAAAAGAAGAGUGAGGCAGGAGAGAAGAGGAAAUGUUAAGAAGGGGAUGGAUAGAAUAGGAAAUUAAAAACCAAAAAUUUAGGGGUCGGGAAAGAGAAAAAAGGGCUUUCAAUAUAUCAUGGGCCUUGUUUGAUUAACGUGUUAAGCCAUAACCCAACUCACAUUUUGGUUCCAUCUUUAAAUUCCAGUGGCAUCCAAAAAAAUUCAAACAUGCGCAUACAAAAUUUCUGAACGGGGUCUAGCUCACCGCUGGUACCGUAUUAUGGAUAAAAAAAUUCCAACAUGUGAAAAUUAUGGUUAUAUAUAAACUAAAAAGGAUAAUCAAAAUGGGCCCUACACAUUUACUAUUUACUACAACUAGAUGAUAUUCAUGUGUAAUAAUCAUGGUAAAAUAUCAUAAUUUCUACUACUAAUAAAUCAAUAAAUAUUUUGUAAAAAAAACAAUAAAUAUAAAUUAGUGUGUAUUCUCCUCAAUGACUAUAAAUUCAAUCAAUGUAAACAAUAUAUACAUGGGUCACACCAACCAUUCAUAUCAAAUAAGGUUGGAAGUUUUAACAAUAUUAUUUACCAAAUCAAAUGAAUCCUAAAAUUUGUGCUCCAACUACACGUUUUUUUUUUUCACUUAUACUCAAAUCAUACUUUGAUUAGUAUGAUUAAUUUGAUUACUUUUAAAGAAUUCAUUUUGAUCAUAUUUAAAACUUUGGUUAAAUUACAAUUUUGAUCUCUUGUAAUUUUAAAUCUUUAAUUUUGCUUCUUCUAUUUUUAAAUCAAGACAUUUAAUUCAUCAUAUUUUUCAAAAUAAAAAAUUUUGACCUUUUUCUCAGUCAACGUAUAACUUAGAUAAGCCCUUGACAUGAUACUACUUAUGUGAAUAAAUAUUAAAUAAAGUGGAAAAUAAUUUUUUUAAUAGGAAUUUAACAUUGAUCUUUUAUUCAUAAAUAAAAUAAUAAAAUUUUAACACACUUAUUUUGUUUAGUUAACUAUGUUAAAAUUAUUUUCUAUGUAUCAUUAGUCAAUAAUUAUUAUUAUUAUUUCAAAUCAUCAAAAUUUAUAAAAUAAAAAAUAUUUAAUGUAUAAAUAUUUUUAAACUUAUUUUAUAUCAUUUUAUUUUGAACAGAUUGCAUAUUUUUAUUUUAUCAAUUUAUAAUUAAAUUUCAUAAAUUAAUAUGUAAAUUAUUUGCAUUUUAAAAAAAAUUGAUUUUAAUAUGCAUAUUAUUUUUUUCUCUAAUUAUUUACAUAAAAUUAUUCAUAAGUAAAACAAUAAAACACUUAUUUUUUUAGUUAACUACAUUAACAUUAUUUUCUAUGUAUCAUCAAUUAAUUAAGAGUUAUUAAUUUUUUUCAUACUAUCAAAAUUUAUAAAUUAAAAAUAUUUAAUAUAUAAUUUUUUUAAUUCUACGUAAAUAAAUAGAGUAAAAAUAAUUUGUAUGCUAAAAUCAAUUUAAGAAAAAUUAUGCAAAUAAUUUACAAAUUAAUUUAUAAAAUUUAAUUAUAAAUUGGUAAAAUAAAAUAAAAUUAUGUCAACUAUUCAAAAUAAAAACAUAAAAUAAUAUAAAAUAAAAUUAAAAAGAUUAUAUAUUAAAUAUUUUGUAAUUUAUAAUUUUUUGUAAUUUUUUUAGAAAAUUAAUAACUCUUGGCUAAUAAUAUAUAGAAAAUAAUGCUAUUAUAUCUAACUAAACAAAAUAAGUGUGUUAGUGGUUGAAUGAACCAAAAUUACUUAUUUUAAAAAAUAAGAAAACUAAAUGUCUUGAUUUAAUAACAAGGAAAUCAAAAUCAUAGAUUUAAAAUUAUAUGGACAGCAACAUUACAAUUUAGCCUUAAAACUUUGAUGGACGACCACGUGAAUCUAAUUAAGUUAAUUAAAAAGGAUGUGCAUCCAAAUUUUAUUGUCGUAAAUCUAAGUUAUGACAUAAUAUUUAUUAUUAUUAUUAUUAUUAAUCCUAUAAUAUAUAUUCUCUUCGGUCUUAAUUAUAAAUAACAAAAAUCUUUUAUUUUUUUUCUCAAAUAUAAUCAAAUCUUACUUACCUAUUUUUAUUUAACCGACUCUUUCCAAGAUUAUCUAUUUAAUAAAAUUAAGAACUUUUUUAUGUUUGAUAUCAAGUUUCAAUAAUUAAUAAUUUUAAAAAAAUGUUUGUAUUUUUUAAAAUAACACAAUUUAAUAAAUUUAACUAAUCUUUUUAAUAAAUAUGAAAUAUUUCUCUUCUUUUUUUCCUUAUAAUCAACAACAGAAUUCAGUAUGAUUUAGUUCUAUCUUUUUGUUAGAUUAUAAGCUUGCCUUCAAUUAAAUUAUUGCGGUGUGGAAAGGAGUAAAUAAACUUGUCUUCUCUUUUAUUUGAAAUCUCCUCUCAUCUUUAACAAACCUUUUGUUUUUUACAAGGCAAAUAAUAUUAUUAAUGUGGUAAAAGAGAAAAACUUACUGGGUACCAGAAGUACCAACAAGCUUCUCAAAGUGAUUACAGAAGUUACCCAAUGAGAAUAGUGACUCAUGAUACAUUAUUCCACAUAAUUAACGCCCACCAAAUUAUCCAAGCAAUUUAAAAUUACCCCCUAUACAAUUACGUCGGAGGGUCCUUUCUAUAAACUAUUUAUGUAACAGGGUUUCUUUCGAAAGUUAUUACGCAAGGGGUCUGUUUUGUAUGAAAGUCACCAGUGUCAUUAGCAAUAAGUGGGAACUACCAUUGUCAUUGGCGAGAAAGGAGAUGACAUGAACGGUCCCGCCCCGCCAUUGCUGUUGGCGAGACAGGCUGAUGUGGUCGUCCCACCAUUGGCAAGUCUGGUGACGUGGAGAGAGUUGCCAAUGCUUCUGGCGAUAUAGGUUGCAGGCUAGGGCUCAAACGUCACAUGCACGCAGAGGUCACAUGUAGCCUAGGACAGUGGUCUCGUCCCUGGAAAUGGCGAGACUAGUGUCGGGAAUUCUAGUUUCCUUUAAAUAGGCAGCUUUUGCCUUGAAAAUUUGUAGUAAUUUUGAAGAGAGAAACAAAGAAAGCACACAGCACCGUGUUCAAUCAAGAAUUUACAAAUCUUACGUUCAUUAAAUAGCCCAGCUUUUGCCUUGAAGUUUCUCAUUCCCUCCUUAUUUAUUUAAAGUAACAAUUUUUAUUGUUGUUUAGUCAAUAAUUUACGAGCCUUGCGCUCAUUCUCUUUCAAGUUAAGUUUUUAAAUAAUUUUUAUCAUUUACAAAUUAUUUAUUUUGAAGUAAUAAUUUUUGUGGUUAGAAUCAAAUUUGAAGCUGAAGUUUAAGUAUAAUAAUUUUUGGAAUUAAAUUUUUUAUUUUGAAAUUAUUACGAGUAAUUAUUUAUAAGCCUUUGUUGAUGGUUUUUAUGCCUUAGAAAUUUUUACAUGUGACCCUUCCAGUUUUUGAAGUUAAAGAAUUAUUCACAAAUUAUUUAAUCGGAGUAAUAAUUUUUUUGUUAGAAUUAAGUUUUAAUUUGUAGUUUAAGUUUAAUAGAGUAAGCAAAUAGAUUUUUUUUUUUAUUUUUAUGAUUCACAAAUUAUUUAUUUGAACUAAUAAUUUUUUUUGUUAGAAUAAAAUUUGAAGCUGAAGUUUAAGUGUAUUGAUUUUUGUAAUUAGAAUUUUUAUUUCGAAGUUAUUUUUAUUACGAUUAAUUAUUUAUAAGCCUUUGUUGAUGUUUUUUUUUCUUAAAAAUAUUUACGUGAUUUCCUUCCAAAUUUUGAAGUUAAGGAAUUAUCCAAAAAUUAUUUAACUGGAGUAAUAAUUAACAUAAUAUAUUCUACAAUUAACAAAAAUAAAAUAAAAUAAAAUAUAUUAUAACAAAUAAAUUAAAAUACAAAGAAAAUUUAAACGCAAAGAAAAAAUUAAAACACAAAGAAAAAUUAAAACGCAGGAGAAGAAGAUAAAAUAUUAUAGAGGAACUUGGGGGAGAGGUUACAAGGGUAUACGCGUUCUAACGGAAGUUUUUUUUUUAAAGAAUGAACAUGCAACAGUCACAUUAUUCUCGCCAUUAGUAAUGACGAUAUAUGCUCAAAAAAGCUGACAUCCUGCUCUGCAACCUACGCUGCAACCCUAGCUGUGCAUGUCUCGCCAAUAGAAAGGGCGAUACUCUCUCCACGUCAUUAGACUUGCUAGAAGCAAUGACGGGAUGGUCACAUCAGUCUGACUCGCCAACAGCAAUGGUGACAUGUUCAUGUAAGCCGCUCUCUUGUCAAUAACAAUGACGGUUCAGGUCAUAUCGCCAAUAACAACUGCGACAAACUUGUAAAAAUGACCCCCCUUUAUAAAUAGUUUAAAAGCAUACCCUCUUUAUUAAAUAUUUUGUAGAUGAAACCCUCUUAUGUAAAUUUGCCCCAUAAUGUUUCAUUCAUCCCUUCACUCUCAAAACAGAUUUUCUUUCAAACACCACUGAGGAUUAUUGCGUCAUUGACAAAAUUAUUCCGGUCUAAGCUUUUUAGGUUACGUUUAAUGUUACUGUUUAUCAUCACAAACUUAUGCAACCAAAAAAAGUAUAUCAAAUCAAUAUUUGAAAAUAGUAUCAAAUGAUAACAAUUAUAGAUAUUUAAAAUUACAAAAAUUAAAAUUAUUAACGUUCAUCACUUUUAAGAAUUAUACCAAUAUUCGUACAUUUAGAAUCUAAAUUAAAAGUGGAAUUGACGUGGACUGUCAAUAUUUAUUUUUUAUAUAAUCAAUCAAUAAAAAAGCAAUCUUUAAUAUAAUUUUCAGAUCAAUUAUUAUAAAAAUCAAUUACAUGCAGUGAUGGAUCCAGAAAACUUUUUUAAAGGGCCAAAAAAAUUAAUCUAUAAUAUUUUUAUAGACAAAAAAUAUUAUAAACUUUUACAAAUACAAAUCUCAUGAUAAAAAUAUUAAAAUAAUCAAGUUUUUAGAAACUUAAAAUAUAAGAUGGAUAAAAUUAGUAUUAUUUUAUUUUCUAUUUUAUCUUUAAUAAUUUUUUACAUUUUUUCCUAAAAAAUAUAUUUUAUGAGGGCAACUCAAUUUUUUUAUGGAAGCAAAAAUAAUAAUUAAGUAUAUUCUAAUAACAAAAUUUACUUAAUGGAGACAAUUGCCCCCAUAUCCACGAUGUAAACUUGUCCCUGAUUACAUAAUUAUUUGUGAUUAAAUAAUAAUAUAAUUUAUUAAGACCCUAAUACAUAUAUUAUUUAUUUAAAAAUUAAUUGAAUAUUAGAAAUUUAAAUUAUUAUUUCAAUAAAAAUAAAAUUUAAAUAUAUUAAAUUAAAUGAAUUACGUCAAAGCAUAUAAUUACCUUUUUUUUUAAAGAAUACAAUUACCUGGUUAAGCCUGAGUAUAGUUCUAAAACUUAGAUUACACAAAAAAGGUUUUAUUUUAGCAUUUAAUUAAAAUGUAUUAAAAAUAUAAAAAAUUUGUAUUAUUAUUUAUAAUAUAUUAUAAUGAAUUUUAUAAUAAUUAUUUUAAAUAUUAUAGUAUUCUGCAUACACUUAAUUAAUUAGUAAUAUAAUUAUAUUAUAUUCAAAAUACUGAAGAUUUUUAAAAUUUUAUAUUAAAUAAAACAUGUUAUUGUUAUUUUUACAAUAAUGAAAUUAGAACUUAAAAUAUUUUAUGCAAAGUAUCUAAAUUUCUUACCACUAAUCACUAAUCAGUCCAAGUAAGUUUGACAUUUCCUUUUUAAAUUGAUUGAUUGAUAAAGUAGAAAAUGCAUUUUAAAAAAAUAAAAUCAAAACGCAACGCAUUGGGUGAUAGCCUUAGCCACCACCCUUUGGAUGGAAAUUUCACACACACAAAAAAAACAGAAGCUAAACGCGUAUUUUUGGGACACCAAAACCAGAACAUUGGGUUUUCUCUUUUUUCUCUUUUCCCCUUCUGUCCUCGAAUUUCCGAUCAAUUCCGAUUUCAACAACAGCUAGGGUUUCGAAAUCGACCACACCUUCUCCUCCCUCUUUCCCCAACACACACGAUCGCGAUGCACCUCUAGGGUUUCUCCCUCUCCCUGGUUCGAAAUUUCGAUUCCCGUACAUGCCAUCGGUGGAGGAAGAAGAUGUAUAGCAAUUUCAAGGAGCAAGCGAUAGAAUACGUGAAGCAGGCCGUGCAGGAAGACAAUGCCGGAAACUACGCGAAAGCGUUCCCUCUCUACAUGAACGCCUUGGAGUACUUCAAGACGCAUCUCAAGUACGAAAAGAACCCUAAGAUCAAGGAAGCCAUCACGCAGAAGUUCACCGAGUACCUGCGCCGGGCCGAGGAGAUUCGGGCCGUGCUCGACGACGGCGGCCCCGGUCCGGCCUCCAACGGGGACGCGGCUGUGGCUGCAAGGCCCAAAACCAAGCCAAAGGACGGUGAAGGCGGUGGCGACGGCGAGGACCCCGAGCAGGCCAAGCUCCGGGCCGGGCUCAACUCGGCCAUCAUAAGGGAGAAGCCCAACGUGAAGUGGAACGACGUCGCAGGGUUGGAGAGCGCCAAACAGGCCUUGCAGGAGGCUGUGAUUUUGCCUGUAAAGUUCCCUCAGUUCUUUACUGGUGAGUGAGUUUCCAUUUUGUUCUUGUGCUUGACAAGUGUGUAAGAGAUUUUCUUCUGUGAAAUUUGGUUGAAUGUUUGUUUCCUUCUGAUCUUAUUUACAGGGAAAAGACGACCCUGGAGAGCUUUCUUGUUGUAUGGACCUCNNNNNNNNNNNNNNNNNNNNNNNNNNNNNNNNNNNNNNNNNNNNNNNNNNNNNNNNNNNNNNNNNNNNNNNNNNNNNNNNNNNNNNNNNNNNNNNNNNNNNNNNNNNNNNNNNNNNNNNNNNNNNNNNNNNNNNNNNNNNNNNNNNNNNNNNNNNNNNNNNNNNNNNNNNNNNNNNNNNNNNNNNNNNNNNNNNNNNNNNNNNNNNNNNNNNNNNNNNNNNNNNNNNNNNNNNNNNNNNNNNNNNNNNNNNNNNNNNNNNNNNNNNNNNNNNNNNNNNNNNNNNNNNNNNNNNNNNNNNNNNNNNNNNNNNNNNNNNNNNNNNNNNNNNNNNNNNNNNNNNNNNNNNNNNNNNNNNNNNNNNNNNNNNNNNNNNNNNNNNNNNNNNNNNNNNNNNNNNNNNNNNNNNNNNNNNNNNNNNNNNNNNNNNNNNNNNNNNNNNNNNNNNNNNNNNNNNNNNNNNNNNNNNNNNNNNNNNNNNNNNNNNNNNNNNNNNNNNNNNNNNNNNNNNNNNNNNNNNNNNNNNNNNNNNNNNNNNNNNNNNNNNNNNNNNNNNNNNNNNNNNNNNNNNNNNNNNNNNNNNNNNNNNNNNNNNNNNNNNNNNNNNNNNNNNNNNNNNNNNNNNNNNNNNNNNNCCUCCUGGAACGGGAAAAUCAUAUUUAGCCAAGGCAGUUGCAACGGAAGCCGAGUCCACGUUUUUCAGGUAAACUAAUUGAUUCUAAUUCUAUGGUUUAGGAAAAUGGUAAAAGUUUAUAGAAUUGAGAAACCUAUGUGUCUGCAGUUUACCAGAUUGCAUGGGAAAUCAUUGGAAUGAAUUCUGAUUCAUAAGUUGAAAUAUGUAUGUGUCUCAAUUACUGCAUAGCAUACCCUUUUAUAGGCAUUAAAACUUUAAUUCAAGGUAGUUAUAAUUGGGAAUUUACCUUAAAUCAGGUAAAUUCAUAUUCCAUAAAUGUUAUGAAUGUAGGUCCAUAAGUGGACAUGUUCUUGCAAGCAUUUUUAACUUUUGAAUUCUUCAUCAGUGUUUCUUCAUCAGACCUUGUUUCAAAGUGGAUGGGUGAAAGUGAAAAGCUGGUUUCAAACCUUUUCGAAAUGGCUCGAGAAAGUGCCCCUUCUAUCAUAUUUAUUGACGAAAUUGAUUCCCUGUGUGGUCAGCGUGGAGAAGGCAACGAGAGUGAAGCUUCAAGACGGAUUAAAACAGAGCUUCUGGUGCAGAUGCAGGUAAUAGUUUUAAUAGUUUGUUGGUUUACAUUUAAAUUGCAAUAUAUAGCAUAUGCGCGGCAAGCUGUCAAAUCCCAGUUGUAUGGCCAUAUAUGAAUGUGGUUGUAAUUUAGUUUCAAAUCAUGAAGAAAGACAUAACUAAUUUCUUAAAUUCUUUGAUAUAAACCGAUUUAGGUUCAAGAAUGUAUGCUUCAUUUUCAAAAGAAGGUUUUCUUCCUAGGGCUAUCUCCUCAGUGGCUGGGUGCUUAUUAACACAUCUUGCAUACUUCAAUUUUUAUGGUUGGAAAGAAGACAAGCCAAAUAGUAAACCUUCAUUUAAAACAAUCCAUCUAAAUUUUUCUUGUUCCAGCAUGUGAGGAGGCUAUGGUAGUUGAAUAGCAGAUCAAGAUUGAGCUAAUUCAUGCUGGCCCUUGUUACUUAUUGGUUUUUUGAGUCUUCAAGUCAUUUUUGAGUGUACAAUAACGACAACACUGGGAAAUAGCUUUAGUUCUAUGCUUUUCUUAAACCUCUAAUAAGCAUUUGUCUCUGUUGUUUUUCUUCUUCAAAACAAUUCCUAGUCAUGAUUGCCACCUUAGAUUUAAAGUCCCGCUUUCAGUGUACUUAGCAUGUCCUGUCCUGUGCUUGUUUGAUGAGAUGUUCACACUUCACAAACAACGUUGCAUAUUUUCAAUUCGGUUUUGGCUCCUCUAAAGUGAAGGAGUGCGCUUUAGAGGAUAAAAUGCACUUACAAGUUACAAUCAUUGAUUAGAAAAUCAAUGGUUGAAAAUUGUGAUAAAAUCAAAUCCCUGUUUAACAAAAUCUAAAAUUUAUCAUAAUCUCAAUAGUUAAUUUUCUAAUUGAUGGUCAUUAUUUCACUUUAUCCUCUAAAGUGCAUUCCCCUCACUUUAGAAGAGCCAAAAUCCAUUAAAUUGUUCUCUAUCUUAUAUCUACAUCUCAGAAAAGGAAUUCCAGAUCUGUGUGGCAUUGUGGCAAUCACUGAUUUGCGGUGGUCAUGUAGGUUUUCAUGUUUGUGUGUGAAUUGUUAUUUGAUUAAGUCAUCAUAUUUGACUUUUUAAAAAUCUACUUUCAACAGGAUAUGUUGUUAUUAUGUAACAAAACUACUGAAGCAUGCUUUACUGGUUGCCAAACUCCCAGAAGCACUUAAGUGUUAUUAUCCUUGUCCUUGACCUGUCAAAAUUUCUCAAGUAACUUGGUUGAUGGAUUUUAGUCAUAUAUUAAGUUGCAUGUGGUAUUUGACAUUUGAGUUGCAUAUCAAAAUAUUUCCCCCUCAUAAGUAAUCCUGUUUUCUGUUUUACUGCUUUAUUUUAAACUGAACCCAGCAGUUACUAGUUUGUAUAAUAUUGUCAUAAUAUGGCUUGCUCGUAUAUAUUUUAUUCUCAUUUUAAUUCACUUUUUUGCUAUUAACAUCAGGGCAGUUUCCAACAUUUUUGGCAUUUCUUCUCUCCUUUUUGAUUCUCUUUAUUUAAUGUACUUUAUCCACAUACUUUGUAGGGUGUAGGACACAAUGAUCAGAAAGUUCUUGUUCUUGCAGCAACAAAUACGCCCUAUGCCUUAGACCAGGUCAGACAGAAAUAAUUUUGUUUUGCGUUCCCAUAUAGAAUCAAUACUAUGUUGUUUUUCACUAAUCAAUUUGUAAUUGUAGGCAAUAAGGCGUCGUUUUGAUAAGCGCAUAUAUAUUCCGCUACCAGAUUUGAAGGCUCGCCAACACAUGUUCAAGGCAAGGACAAUAUACUCGAUUGUUGACAGGUUUUUGUUAUGCUAUAUAAACCUAGCAAAUGGUUUUACCAUGCUUUUUUUCUGGCUUACUAAAUUGAGCAGGUGCAUCUAGGAGAUACUCCCCAUAACUUGACUGAAAGUGAUUUUGAAUACUUGGCUAGCAGGACAGAGGGUUUUUCUGGUUCAGAUAUAUCUGUCUGUGUAAGUUUUACUGCUAUAUGAAAUGACUGGUUUCAUUAAUCUUAUACUUGAUGAAUUUUUAAGUAAAAAGUUUUUGGACCUCCUCUUCAGGUAAAGGAUGUUUUAUUUGAACCUGUUCGCAAAACCCAAGAUGCAAUGUUCUUCUUUAAGAAUCCUGAGGGUAUGUGGAUCCCAUGUGGACCUAAGCAACAGGGUGCAGUACAAACCUCAAUGCAAGAGCUUGCUGCAAAAGGACUUGCUUCUAAGGUAUUUAAUGUGUUAAUAGUUUUUUAUGGUAGUAGUACUGUACCGAGUGUCUUUAAUUUUUUUUUAAUGAUAAUUGGAGAAGAAGUAGUGUUGUGAUGUCUUUGGACUAGGUUGUUAUAUCUCUAACUGAAACUGGGGAAUGCUUACUAUAAAACUUAUUGCAGAUCCUUCCGCCCCCUAUUAGGAGGACAGAUUUUGAGAAGGUACUCGCUAGACAAAGGCCUACAGUAAGCAAAGCCGACCUUGAUGUUCACGAGAGAUUCACGAAGGAAUUUGGAGAGGAAGGUUAAUACUGAUGGAAUUUCACUUUGAAGGUCCACACUGGUUUCAAAUAUAUUGUUAUAAUUUGUAAUUUAUUAGCCGUUGGAUGCAAAUGAAAUGCAUCUUUUUCAUUUUUGGGGAUGUAAAGGCCCCUUUUGUACCGAGGUGGAUUUAUAAAGGUCGAUACUCAUUUUUCUUCUUCUAAAUUGUGUAUAACAGAAUCUGAAAUGAUUUGAAAAAAUAACUUGUGUGAUGCUGGAUUUUUACUUUUGUCUGCUAUGGAUUUAGGAUGCCAUAAAUUUGGGUGCUUUUUAUUUUCGAGAUGGAUCAGAUACUCAGCAUGUUGCACUAAGCUACCUGCUGAUGGGACACAAGAGACUCAUCAUAAAAUAUGCCACGCAGAUUAGGGUAUUCAACUUAACAUAAAGUGUUUACUAAAUGUGAUGAUAGAAUGGUUUUUUAUUCAACUGCUAAGUUACUCCAGAUUCUUGUAAAAGCUCAUUAAUUGUCUGUUACUAUUGCGAUCACAUUUUAAGCACAGUUAUUCUUUUAUACUUUUUUACUGGGUCGUUAUCAGAAUUUCUGCAUAACUAAUUCUCACUCAACAAGUGUCAAUUUUAUAUAUCGUCAUGUUCACUGUAAUUAUAUAAUUCGGCGGCAGAAAUAAGAGUGCAGAUGAACUUAAGCUAUUCUUGAGUUAUUUGAACUUGAUUCAUUAAAUGUUCAAUAUAAGUUGUGUCAAAAUUUUAUACGUUCAACAUUAACAAUCCAUAAAUUAUUUGUUUAUUUAAAUUGAUGAGAAUUUGACUAGUCUUUGUUAUUUACUCAUGUAAAACUUUGUUGAUGACAUUGAAUUAAUUUUUUUUGUAGUAAUAAAAAAAUAUAAGUUUUUAUUUAUUUAUUGUAUUAUGAAAAUGUAAUAGCCUAGAAUUUUUUAAUUUAACAUAGCAUACAUUGUUGACCACAUAUUUCAAAUAUAAACGAGUAAAAUACGUUAUGAAUAAAUUUUAUUUUUUUAGCAAGGCAACAUCAAGCUUUUACUUAAAUUUGUUUAAAUAAUUGAGUCCAAAUCAUACUGUUGACACACUGACAAUGCACAUGUUCACCCACGGUUUCAUCAAUGGAAAUACAAGACAUGGUUUCACAUAGUGCACGAAUACGAUGAUAAUGCAGAAGUUUUCUGCGGAAUAGUUGAACUGAAUCCUCUAACCUUUGUGACAAGUGGAGUAGUAAGCUGGAGCGCAUGUCUCAUCUUCGCAAAUCGCAAGGUUAAAUCGAAAUUCUGUUAGUCAAUGUUGUUGAUAAAAAUAUUAAUCAAGAUAUAUAUUUAACUCAAAUUAACGGUAAAGAAGAUUACUGUAUUUAUAAUUAAAGAUAAAAAUAAAAAUUUAAAACGAUUGAGAGAAAUAUUUUUUUUGUUAAUUGUAAGAAAGAAUUAGAAGAAUGAUAGUCCUUUUAUUCGAGUAGUGUAAUUUACACAAUAUUUCAGUAGUAGAUAUUAUCUCUUUUAUCUUGUUAAUUUUUGAAAGUUUGUGCAAUAAGUAAUAAAAAGUAUUAUUAAUUUUUUUAUAUGAAUAAUAAGAAUUUAAUGGUAAUACACUGAGACAUUCUUAAUAAGUAACAGCUGACUAAGGGGAAAAGGAGUUAUUGGCAAGAAGCAUUUUCGGUUUCCCAAACUAAUCAUAGCCUGGAACCAGUCCUGGAAUUAGCCAGCAAAUUUUAGCAAUUCUAUCAACAAUUUGCCAUAGCAAUGUUAAAUGUAUAUUUUCUGAGACUUUCUCGAGUGUUGAUCGUUCAUCCUUUCUGAGUUGAAUAAUAUGUACAAUGGUCUAUCCAAGAGUGGAGAACCAAUAUCAUCACACUCACUGCCAUAAUCAGCGUUAAAAGUAUCCAGAAGUAGCCUAACGUUAAGAUGUAUUUAGGCUUUCAAUUCCUAUGACAUUCUUUCCUUAAAGUUUCCGUGAGAAUUUAUGCCUUGGAGAGAGUUGAUGGAUUCUUUGGAAAACAAAGGUCUGAUCCACUAAAGAAUCUUCGAAACACAAAAAGCAUAUUAGCCCAAACAUCACCAGUAGUCACCACAUGAACACAAACCACCUUUAAAGUGGUGAAAUCUGUUUGAAUCUCUAACAACAAUCUCUUUUCAACGAGUGAUACCAACUUAAUAAAGUUGUGGCAAUCUCCACAGACUCUGAGAUUCUUCACAAUCUGAAGGGGAAUUUCAGGAAGUGUAGCUAUUAAGCAGAAGGCAAUGGCAAGUCUUUCACUAUGAUGAGAAAUAAUAGUUUCUUUUUGUUCAUCUUCAAUAUCAUGAAACACAUAAUUUGUAUCAGGCUGAUAACCAGCAUCCCUCAACUGGAUAUUUAACUCUGAAAGUUUUGACUAAAUAUGGUCUGACAAAGGAUGCGACAAAUCACCAGCCAGGGAUGAGUAAGUCUUGUUUUUCACCUCAAUCCAACUGUACCCAGGUUCUUUUUUCACUUUUCUCUUAUCCAUAAGUUUUCUCACAUUGACUUUCUCAUGCCAGUUUCCUGCUGCAGCAUAAAUAUUGGAUAAUAGGCUAUAUGCGGCUGAGUCUUGUGGCUCUAGUGAAAUGAUUUUUUCAGCUGCAAGUUUCCCAAGAUCUAUAUUGAGAUUUACUCGAGAAGCUGCCAAGACAAUGUGCCACACAGUUGCAGCCGGGGGAAAUGGCAUCCUAUUUAUGAUAUCCAAGGCUUUUUCCAGCAUCCCUGCGUGGCUAUAUAGAUCAAUCAUGCAGGAGUAGUGCCCAUCAUUGGAUUAAUGUGAUGACCAUUGACCAUUACAUUUAAGUAAUUUUGGCCUUUUCCCACUAAGCCAGCAUGUGUCCAAGCAGAAAUGAUACCAAUGAAUGUUAUAGCAUCCACUUCCAAGUUUCGUUUCUGUAUUUCCUCAAAUAUCUCUAAUGCUUUCUUUGCCUGGCCGUGCUGUGCAUAUCCAGAGAUCAUUGAGUUCCAAGAAACCAAGUCCCUCUCCAUCUGCCUUUUGAAAACUUCAUGUGUGCUUUCAAUAUUGCCUCUCUUUGCAUACAUGGUAACAAGAGAACUACUUACACACAGAGCAUUAUUCAAUCUCAGUUUAAUUGCAUAGGCAUGGAAUUGUUUUCCUUGCUCUACUGAUGCUGUAGGAGCAGUACAGCCAUUAAUGAUGCUGCAAAAGGUAAAUUCAUUUUGUUUAAUACCCUCCCUUGUUAAUUGAUGGAAGAUUUUAGCAGCUUCUUCAGUUUCUCCUGCUUGGGCAUAUCCCUCUAGCAUUGCAGACCAGGCUAUUACGUCCUUGGCUUCAAUUAGCUCAAAAACUUUAACAGCAUCACUAAUAUUUCCUGUCUUAACAAAGGCAUCUAAAAGUGCAGUUCCCACCGAAGAUGACUUCUCAUAAUUAGUUUUGAUAACUUCUGCAUGUAUUUCAGAAAUGAAAACAGCAUGUUGCACAGUCAGGAUGGCAGAAUAAGUGAAAUGAUUUGGUUUGACACCUUCCCUUCUCAUUUGGGAAAACAAAUUCACAGCCUGGUCAGUGCCACCAUUAUGCAAGUAUCCACUGAUCAUAGCAGUCCAAGAAACCACACUUUGACACCGAUGCAUCAAGGAGAAUAAACUAAAGGCAUGGUCCAUUUCCUUGCACUUAGUCAAUGCUACCAUGAGUGCAGUUAGGAAGUUUUGGUUAGUGGAAAGCCCAUUCUUCAGAGUCAUACAGUGCAGCACUCUUACCAACCCCAACUCUUUAAGGCUAGCACAUGACUUGAUAACAGAUGCAAAUGUCGCAUGCGUAGGCUUAGCCCCUGCAAGCUGCAUGUUGUUAAACGUUUCAAAAGCUUCCAAAUCUUGUCCAUUUAUCACAUUUCCAGCAAUCAUACUAUUCCAAGAAACUGAAAUCCUUGUUCUCCAUGUUAUCAAAAACAGCUCUAGCAUCUCUUAACAUCCCCAGACUUUGAAAGCAUAUUAAUCAGAGAGUUGCAGACAAGUCUUUCUGUCACAAAGAGUUGCAGACAAGUCUUUCUGUCACAAAACCGAGAUUUAUAACCAGGGCAUGGAUUUGUAUUCCUAUAGCAACUUCACCCUGAUUGGACAAAGCUGCAAUUACAGUAGAAACAGUAUAAUAGUCAGGCCUGUAUCCCUCAACUUGCAUCAGACAGAACAAUUCCCACACCUGAUCAUUAAAUCCAUUCCAUGAAUAACCCGUGAGUAAGGAAUUCCAAGACACCACGUCUCUGUCACCCAUUUCAUCAAAAACUCUCCUCCCAUCUCCAAUAUUCCCAGUUUUCAUGUACAUAUCAACAAGAGAGUUUCCCACGCUAAGAUGGUGCACAAGUCCACACUUGACACACUGACAAUGCACUUGUUCACCCACCGUCCCAUCCAAGAAACCAGCACAAACAUUCAAAACACAAGACAUGGUAUAACUAUCAGGCGAUAAACCAGAACGAUAAAGUGAGACAAAGAGGUUGAGGGCUUCUUGGGUUUGGUCACAGCGAGAGUAACGGAAAAGCAAGUGGUUAUGCUGUUUGAGGUCUCUAAGGGGAGUUUGGUCGAACAGUUGUUGUGCAAAGCGAGGAUCACUGUCACGUAAAAGGGUCCUUGCAUUGAGGGCAACAACAUGGGAUUGCAGAAGAGGGUUAGCGUGGCAGUGAUAUUGGUAACGUCUAAUUCUGAGAAUUGGGUUGGUUGAAGUGUUGGUGAGUGCCCUUAAAAGACGCAUUCAGAGUCACAUUCUAAAGCGAGUGUUUUGUUUUUUUAAAAAAAAAAUAUAUUUAAGCAGCGUAAGGUACGAUGAUAUAAUGCUAUGUUUGUUUUCUGUUGUUGGGUUCUCUGGUAAGGAGACAGUGACAUCAUGUGAAGGGAUAAUAUGAAGCGCACGUGCGACGUGUCAUGUUCACGAGUUUAAAUUCUGUGAUUCACAAGUAGGAUUUUUUUUUCUUUUUCUUUUUUUUUUAAAAAAAGUAGGGUAUGUUUUGUUCGAAACUUUAGCUACUUUUACUUUGGUUUCAGAAUAAUAAUUUAUUAAAAUUUAUUUGAAAUCGAUACGUGAUUAUGAAAAUUAAUAAUAACUCCUAAAAAUGUUUUCUUCAAAGAAAAGCAGCUAAAAAUACUUUCAUUAAAGAAUGAUUACUAAAAGUAUUGAUGAUUAUUCUAAUUUGUACUGUAUUGAAAUGGAUAGGAUGCGAAUAGAGUAGAAGUAGUAUUUCUUUCAAUCUUAUUUGGUCCAUUUAUAUUGUUUUCAAUUGGACUAAAUAAAUAAAUAACUAGUGUCCCUCUUAAAAUUGGGCUACCACUUGGCAAUUGAUAUAUCAAUUAAAGUAUUACAUGUUUGGAUCUAAUUUAAAAAAAAUGAUAAAAAAACAUUAGUAAAUAAUAUCAUUUAAUGUUGGAGGUGUUCAGUGAAUCAGUAUAUGUUUUAGUUUUAUCCCAUAAUUUAAUUUAAAAUUAAUUUUGGCAAAUUUAAAGUGUUUUGAAAAUGAAUUUAAAUUAUAUUUUUUGAAUUGAUUUUGAUUCAUUCUAACUUGACCUAAUAUCGAUAUUUUAUCAUAAUAUGUUUUUAAUAAUAAAAAAUAAUAAAAUUUUAAUCUUAUCUUGUCUAUUUUCAAAUUUUAAUUAGGUUAAACUCAUAUACAACUUAAGGAUUGAACUAAAACCAUAUGAACAGCAUCCCAUCACACACAUAUACUACUAUAUAUUUUGGAAAAACAAUGUAGAAAUCUGGGUAUUUGUUUCCACUUAAAUAAUUGUUGGAUACUCUCUUGUUGCUGCUUACUACCACUUACCAGUUAGCAUCAUCUGCAUAUUUCAGGGUUAGGCAAUUUGGAAGCCACAUUCAUAAACAUAAAGUAAGUUACCCAUUUAAAUCCACCCACCAUACCCAUCUUUUUUUCAAUCUCUGUUAUGUUAUUACUUCUUCUUUUUAUUAUUAUUAGAAUAUUACUAGUAUUUAUUAUUAUUUAUUUUCUAGUCAUUGGUGUUUUAGCUAGAUUUGACCGUUAACGAGGAAGUUAACCCCUCGAUCUUCUCCACCACCAACAGCAUCACUUUUUAGGGUUUUUUCUUAUUUACCACCAAAGCUUAGGCCCUUGUUGCCCUCUUUUAACUCUUUUUUUUUUUUUAAAAAAAAAAGAAUAACUUUCAUGGUUGUUCAACAAUUUAGGUGUUUCCCCCUUUCAUGAAAAUUGCUAAACCCUUAAGGGUACAUGUCAAAUUUCAGUUUUUUUUUUUUUACUGAUUCGGUUUCACAGUGCUUUGGGGAAUUCAGAAUAAGCAAUUUGCGUAGGUUUUGAGCAUAGUGGAUGAACUUUUCAGUUCCUUCCACUUCCCCAAAUUCAAACUUUUUUUUUUUUUUUUUAUGAAUUUGCAGCAAGCAGUGUGGAAGAAAGAUUGUUUUUUGGUGUGAAAGAAGAGAUUUUAUUUUCUGGGGAAGAUGAUAGCCGAGAAACCUAGUUGGGUUAGGCAUGAGGGCAUGCAAAUUUUCUCCAUUGAUGUUCAACCCGGAGGGCUCAGGUUCGCUACUGGUGGUGGUGACCACAAGGUAUGGAUUUUUUUUCUGUCUUUGAGGCUCAAAAUUUGUGAAUAAUUUUGAAUUUUGGAUGUUUAGUUGUAUGGUAUUCAAGGAAGUAGCACCCCACUUUGAGUUAAGAUUUUAAGUCCUGUAAUUCUUGAAUAUGGAAUUUAAUUGCCUUCCCACCUCCUCCUUUUUUCUAUCAGCGGAAUAUUGCUUUCUAUAUGUUUCCAAUUAAUUGAAAUUUUUACAGUUUCUUAUGAAGAGUAGAAAUUGUUAACAUUUUUCGAGUGUUCUUAGGCGAAUUUUUGGCCAACCCCCAUAGGCAAUUUGUGAAGGGAAACCUGCCAUAAGGCACAAUGGUGUGUUUAUAUGGUGGAAUUUUGGCCAUCCACCAUUAAUAACACUGCAUUUUCUUGAUUCAAUGUAGACUGCUCUUCAUGCAGACUUUCAGGGCAGAGAGUAUCUGUAUGUGUUUCAUAUUUAUGAGAAUAGCUUCCUAAUGAGCUUGCCAAUCGUAUUUUAUAUACACACAACUUACUCAGGAAACCAAAUUUCCUUGGUGCCUUCUGGUGAAUUACUUUCAUAUUAAAAAAGUAAGAAAUAGUAAAGAUCUGACAUUAAUGCAUUGCCUAGUGUCAGGUUCAGCUAAACAUCUAAGAAAUAUAAUUUGUGCUGAAAUUUCUUGUUUCUCUUCACUUAUUUUGUUUUCAUAACUUUCCUGUCCCUCUGUGUCUGAGAAAUCUAGCUGUAUACGACUUCUGGUCUUCUGGGUAGGAUUAGAGUGGGUCGAUGUUUUCAACUUUACUCUCUUGAUUUGUUUACAGCACUUGAAUUAAUUCUCAUGCAUUCACAUUCUCAACUAUGUACUACACAGGUUCGCAUAUGGAAUAUGAAGUCUGUUAGUACUGACUUAGAAAAUGAUGAUUCUUCUCAAAGGCUUCUUGCAACUCUACGGGAUCACUUUGGGUCUGUCAACUGUGUUAGGUGGGCUAAGCAUGGAAGGUAUGUUGCAUCAGGCUCUGAUGAUCAGGUGAUAUUAAUUCAUGAGAGAAAGCCUGGUUCAGGAACCACUGAAUUUGGCAGUGGAGAGCCACCAGAUAUUGAAAACUGGAAAGUUGCAAUGACUUUGAGAGGGCACACUGCAGAUGUGGUAAUGCUGUUGCUUUUAUUUUUCAAUCUUCUUUUUCAAAAAUAUUUUCUUGUUUCAACCAUUUAAUUCCAUGUUGACAUUUGCUCUCAGAAUUGAAUGAACCAAUUUGUCAUCUAAAUGGAUCUCUAGCUGCUUAUCCGAAUGGUUUUAAAUUUUCAAUUAUCAUCAUUAACUUGGGAUCUAUUUCUCCAUGCUUAAAGUAGGUGGAUCUUAACUGGUCUCCGGAUGAUUCUGCAUUGGCUAGUGGGAGUUUGGACAACACUAUCCAUGUAUGGAAUAUGAGCAAUGGCAUUUGCACUGCUGUCCUAAGGGGCCACUCCAGCUUGGUUAAGGGAGUUGCUUGGGAUCCUAUUGGCUCCUUUAUAGCAAGUCAAUCUGAUGAUAAAACUGUAAUUAUUUGGCGAACUAGUGAUUGGAGUCUUGCUCAUAGGACAGAUGGUCACUGGGCAAAAUCAGUAAGUUUCUUAUUUUGAAAAAAUUUCUGAUGGAAUAACAAACUCUAUUUCCUAAUUAACCUGUCUUCCUUUCAGCUUGGAUCAACCUUUUUCAGGCGUCUUGGUUGGUCUCCUUGUGGUCAUUUUAUCACCACUACUCAUGGUUUCCAGAAGCCUAGGCAUUCUGCCCCUGUGCUAGAGAGAGGGGAAUGGUCUGCAACAUUUGAUUUUCUAGGACACAAUGCUCCAAUUAUUGUGGUUAAGUUCAACCAUUCUAUGUUCAGAAGAAAUUUGACUAAUGCUCAGGAAGUGAAGUCUGUACCUGUUGGGUGGACCAAUGGUGCUUCCAAGACUGGAAGUAAAGAACCACAGCCUUAUAAUGUUAUUGCAAUUGGAAGUCAGGAUCGAACUAUAACUGUUUGGACUACUGCAAGUCCUCGUCCUCUAUUUGUGGCUAAGCAUUUUUGUACUCAAAGUGUUGUGGAUUUGUCCUGGUAUUUCUCUUCAUCUCUAGCCAUGGUUGAUUUAUUUUGGGAAUGUUAUAUUUUUAAUUAACAUUUUUACUUUAUCAUUUCUGUGAGUGACUCCUUAUAAUUUUUUCUUUUUCCUUUUCAAAUAGGAGCCCUGAUGGAUAUUCACUUUUUGCAUGUUCCUUGGAUGGAUCUGUGGCUACAUUUCAUUUUGAGGUAAAAGAACUUGGUCAGAGAUUAGGUGAUGCUGAGCUAGAUGAGUUGAAGAGAAGUCGUUAUGGUGAUGUGAAAGGUCGUAAAGCAAACUUGGCUGAAAGUCCAGCACAAUUACUGCUAGAAGCUGCUUCUGCCAAGCAAACACCUAGCAAAAAAGUGGUUUCUGAUGUUCAACAAAACCAAUCUAAGGCAAAGGCUUAUGUUGAUGUGGCAGUUACUGCAAAGAAUGCUGAGCUUCAAAAUGAUGAUGGCAAGAAAAGUGGAGGUCCAGUUGGUGAUGUGUCAAACAAAGCUGCAACCUCUGGCCGGAUUUCUAGUCCUGUUAAGCAAAGAGAAUAUAGACGACCUGAUGGGCGUAGAAGAAUUAUUCCAGAAGCAGUAGGAGUGCCUGUUCAGCAGGAAAACAUUUCUGGUGCACUUCAGCAAGCACUCAAUUUUCGUAUAGUUUCUUCUGAUCACAGAAAGGAUAUUGAAAGAGCUGUAUCCAAUGAAGAUGGUGCAAGAGUAUGCACCUUGGGAGGAGCACAUGGCAGAAAUACUGAUAUAAAAGAGCGUUCUGGGGUUACUGCUAGGGCCACAAUUUCGGAGAGCCUAGUGAUUGAGAAGGUUCCAGCUUCUGCUGGUGAUGGAAGCGUCAAUGUUGAGCAGUCAAGCAAUUUGAUGUCUUCCAGUUCUUUAGCUGCUUGUAGUGGUACACUUUCCAUUAGAGUAUUUGACAAGAAAAGUGGAGAAGAUUCUUCUCCUAUUCUUUUAGAAGCACGCCCAAGAGAACAUGCUGUAAAUGACAUUGUAGGGCUGGGAAAUACAUCCAUAAUGAAAGAAACAGAAAUUGUGUGCUCAAAGGGUCCUCAUACACUUUGGUCUGAUAGGAUAUCAGGAAAAGUCACUGUUUUAGCUGGCAAUGGAAAUUUUUGGGCCGUUGGGUGUGACGACGGAUGUCUGCAGGUAAAUUGCUUUUCUACAUGUACAUGCAUUGUUUUCUUUCAGUACUUAUUUUCUGUUAACAUUUCUGAUAUAUUGUGGGACAUGGGUUAUGAGUGUAUGUUGAGCUGUAGUAGUUGUACCCAACAUCCUUUAUAAUAUUUUUCUUGGUAUUAUUGAGCUUUGUUGUGCUUUCCUUUAAGACUUUUAUCCUCAUGUUUUAAUGUUACUAAAAAUUAUUUCUUCUAGGCCUUUCAUCGCAUGUUUUAUACCUUUUGGUAUCUUGGUAGCAUCUCUUGUGCAUCGAUCAAGUCCAUUCAAGUUGUUAAUGUGUUCAUUUCUUGCAUAUUUACCACUGGCAUACAUACCAUUGUAGUUGUAAUGUUGUAUGACUAAUAAUUAGUUGCUUACAGCCUUACACUUAAAAUAUCCCAUAAAUACAACACAUCAUUUGUAACUGUAAACUAAUUGAUUGAGAAAGCUAUCUAUGUUAACACUUUACUACUUGAUAUUUGUCACAUAAUACUUUACCAUGUAAACUAAUUGAUUAAAGAAAACUAUCUCUGUUAUAUCAAACUUAGCUAAUAAUCUUUUGGUAUUCAAAUUUCAGAAAAAAAUAUUGUUGAGUUUUAAUUAGGAUAAGUGCAGUACUAUGUGACAAAUAACUAAUUUCUAUGUACUGUGAGAUACAUGGUUUAAAAUUUUUUUAAUCUUGUAAAACUAUGGGCAUAAUGUACUAGUUCAACAUAUGGGCAAGAUGUAGGUCUUAUGCUUUUGAAAUCUUUGUUUUUUGACUUUUUCUUGCUUCCAAGAAGAUUUACACGAAGUGUGGGAGACGAGCAAUGCCUACCAUGAUGAUGGGUUCUGCAGCUACAUUUGUAGACUGUGAUGAAUGCUGGACAUUACUGCUGGUGACAAGAAAAGGAUCCCUGUACUUGUGGGAUUUAUUCAACCGAACCUGUCUUCUUCAAGAUUCGUUGACUUCUCUAGUUGCUUCAAGUCCUAACUCGUCUGGUAAAGAUGCAACUACCAUAUAUAUUAUGUACAUUUGUUUGAUAUUGGAGAUGCUUGGUCUUUAACUAUGGCCUCUGCCUCACAGUUUAUUAUUUUUUUCUUUGUAUGAGGACAACUUGUCCUGGUUUUCCAACAAUUUGUCUUUUUUCAGUGGCUCUAUGUUAUCUUAAAAUUUAUCAUUUCUUUUCAGGAACUAUUAAAGUUAUAUCUGUGAAACUAUCAAAAUCGGGUUCCCCUCUUGUUGUGUUGGCUACUCGCCAUGCUUUCUUAUUUGACAUGAAUGUCAAGUGUUGGCUGAGGGUUGCAGAUGAUUUCUUUCCUGCAUCAAAUUUUUCCAGCUCAUGGAGUUUGGGUUCGAUUCAAAGCGGUGAGCUGGCAGCACUGCAGGUUGAUCUCAGAAAAUAUUUGGCUCGGAAGCCAGGUUGGACUAGGUGUGUAUUGAUUAAUCUUUUAUAUAUAUAUAUAUAUAGCUUGUAGUUGGUCUUGGUCCUCGAUUUGAAAUGUUGUUGGAUACCAUAUGAAUAUGAAAUUGAAUUAAGGGGAUGGAAGGUGGGGUAGAUAUUAGUAAUUCUAUAGACUGUAACUUUCUAAUGGUUGGCUUUAGCUUAUUGUCAAAUUAUGAUGCAGUUUAUUAAUGUAUCCAAAGAAAUGCAGUUAUAUAACUAUCAUGAUAAAUAUAUACAAAGACAACCAAGCUUAUCUCUCUCAUUGAAGUGGUGUAAUCUACAUGGAUCAAUCAAUGUGAUUGGACUCACUAAAAAACGAAAUUUCCUGUGAAACCAUUUAGAAUUUUCUAACUUCCUUUACCCCUUAAUUAGACAAUGUUCAUUUGAUGAACAUUUUUCGUAUUGGAGCCUCUUUGGUCGAAUAUUUGUUGUCUCUUUAAUAGGUGUGACUUAAACUUUUUCUUGGAUACAUUUGUGGCUAAUCAUGAUACUGGUUGAGGAAUAUGGUGGAACUUCGUUGCUGAACCUGCCUCUGGUACAGUAUCAUUGUUGUACCAAACAGAGAUCCAGUAGUAUACAACUCUCAAGAGUUAAGAUCCCUCCUGUUUCUGACUCCUAAGGAUGUGUUAAUGCAUAAUAAAAUUGAAAAACCUACAACUAUUUCCUGUAUAUUUAUACUCUUGUCUAGAAGGAUGGAGUGUGCUUGUUACAUAGGCCUCUGAUCUCGUGUUUCAUAAUUUUCCCCCCUCCCCCUUUUUGUUAGGAUUCUGAUGUUUUUAAAAGUACACUUUCUAAACUUGACUACCUUGAUACAGAGUUACUGAUGAUGGAGUGCAGACACGUGCUCAUUUGGAAACGCAAUUGGCUUCUUCCUUGGCUUUGGGAUCCCCUAAUGAAUAUCGCCAAUGCCUAUUGUCAUACGUACGCUUUCUUGCAAGGUGUUAUUCUUUUCUCUUUUUCUUUGAGAUAUUGUUCAAAUAAUACUUUAGCGCUUUAUUGAGCUUGCAUAAAGCAUGUAUGGUUGUAUACGCAUUUAGUUUCUCUAUAAAAGUGUAAGUCACAUACUGUUUCUCACUACCCCCAGCCACUAACCACCUUGCUCACUUGCUGUCUGUCUCCAGCUGUUUACGCCUAAAACUCAAUUCUUCUGCUAAAAAAGUCUUUUGAUGAUGCUCAUACUAAAUUCUUUAAUUUGCAUGAUGACUAUUCUCAAGAUGAAUAGAAUGCAACUUCUUUAAACUGUCUUCUAGAACUUUUUUUAUUAGGAAGAUGCUAUAUGUAUGUUUAUGCAGAGAAUGCAGUCUUAAUUUUAAAUUUUUAAUACUUUGUGAUUAUAUAUGCAUAUCGUGUUGUCUUUGUGAUUUUGGACAAUUGCAGACUAAAGGAUUAUAAAAUUAUUGCAGAGAAGCAGAUGAAUCUCGUUUACGUGAAGUGUGUGAGAGUUUCCUUGGACCUCCAACUGGGAUGGUUGAGGAAACAUCUUCAGAUUCAAAGAACUUAGCAUGGGAUCCUAUGGUGCUUGUAAGCUUUUCUCUAUCUACAUAUCUAAUAAAAUCAUGUUAUGCAUACCCAUUUAUUUAAAAGAGUGAGUCAAGCCGGGAAUGAUAAAAUAGUGCAGAAGAACACUUUAAAAAUUUCCUGUUCUGAAAUAGACUAUAGACGAUUACUGAAAUUUAGGGGCCGCCUUUUUAAGAUUUUGAAAAAGAGAUUUUAAGAUUGUGUAAAAAAUGAAUUAUUUUAGAUUUUGAUUUUCUUUUUCAAAAUAAAAGUGAUUUUUAAUACAAAAACUGGGGGAAAAGAAGAGCUCUUAAUUGGAAAGCUAGAUAGAGGAAAAGUGCACGAAAAAGAUUUAUUGGCUGAUUACACUGAUUUAUUUAUCUUAAAAAAAUGACAAACCCUAACAGGAAGAUACUGAGACUUUUAUGGACCAACAGCUUAUAUGAUUGUCAAACCAAAUGAUCACUGUAUCUUCUUUCUCUAAUGUUCCAACUGAAUCUUUGCAGGGAAUGAGGAAGCACAAGCUUCUUAGGGAAGACAUUCUUCCAUCCAUGGCAUCAAACAGAAAAGUCCAGAGAUUACUUAAUGAAUUCAUGGAUCUUUUAUCCGAAUAUGAGAUCAUUGAUGCUAAUCAAGAGCAAUCAAACCCCACAGUACCAAAUUCAUCCUUGCCAGAAACCAAUCCAAUUGAGAGCAGUUCACUAGCAACAGAUCAGGAGCACACUGCUCCACCAAAAUUGGAUCACAAUACCCCACUGGAAAAAGAGCAAAUAAAUUUCCCUCCAGCACUCACAGAUGA
This 84791-nucleotide long non-coding RNA is filed under the name Glycine max (soybean). Its description in RNAcentral is "long non-coding RNA (GMAX_LNC003039)". Lineage: Eukaryota; Viridiplantae; Streptophyta; Magnoliopsida; Fabales; Fabaceae. The record is from RNAcentral.